GUAGAUAAUUUUCUUUUUAUUGCUAGAUUCAUUUUACUGCCCUAGCACACAUCCUAUUAAUUUUUCACAUACUAUUAAGUAUAAGAUUAAAGGUCUCAUUGGAACAGAUGAAACCAACAAGAAAAGAUUUGAUAAGUACUGCUUAACUAUAUCAAAAAUCUCUUAACAUUUUUCAUUCUAUUCACCAGGGUUAUUCUUGUGAAAAAACUUAAAAAUGGGAUCACACUUGUAGGUAAAUUAAGAAAUAAAUUAAGAAAUAUAGUUCCAUCUACCUAAAAAUCUUCAAACUUUUUUUAGUGUGCUUAGAGUGAUAAAUUUUGAAUAGUUCAUAUCUUGUUUGGUCGACUUCAAUCUUUUUUCCAUUGACCACGACGUCUAACAACUUCUCUGACUUACCCUUAAAUGUCCAUUUGGCUCGAUUCAGCUUAAGUUGGAAUUUUUUCAACUUCGUAAAUAACUUUUUAAGGUUAGUGACAAGAUCUUCUCUUUGGUGAGAUUUUACGGUCAUGUCGUCUAUGUAUAUCUUAAUUUUUUUGUGCAUUAUGUCAUGAAAAAGUGUUACCUUAGCUUUUUGAUAAGUUAUCCUAGCAUUCUUUAAAUCAAAUGGCAUAAUUUUGUAGCCAAAAGUACCCCACAUGAUCACAAAAGUGAUCUCUUUCAUGUCUUCAUUAGCCAUCUUUAUCUGAUUAUACCUAAAAAUCCAUCCAUGAAAAAAAACAUAAAAUGUUUGAUCGUAUUGUCCACUAGUGUGUCAACAUGAGAUAAUGGAAAAUUAUCCUUCAAGCUGGCCCUAUUCAAGUCAUGAUAAUCCAUACAUAUUCGUAUCUUUCCAUCUUUCUUAAGGACAGGUACUAUAUUGGCUACCCAUUCUAGAUACUUGGCCACUUGUAAAAAACCUAGAUUAAAUUACUUUUUCACUUCUUCCUUAAUCUUUAACAGUAUCUCGGGCUUCAUUCACCUCAACUUUUAUUGGAUCGAUUUACAUUUUGGCUUCGAAGGUAAUUUAUGUUUCACUAUUUCAGUACUAAGCUUGGGUAUAUCCUGAUAAGACUAAGCAAUACAUCUAUGAAUUCUCAAAGUAGAUUUUUUAACCUUUGCCUAUCUACCAAUGAAAGUGAUGUGCCAAUUUAAACCUCUCUCUUAUUCUCCUUAUCUCUUAAGUACACCAAACCUGAUGAGGCUCAAUUAGUUUAUUUUCUUGUUCAAUUCAUCUCAUUAGGUCCGAAAGCAGUGCAUAUUCCUCAAAAUCAUCUUUGUUAUCAAGUUCAUUAGCGUUAAUUGAAUUUUUAAAAUUAAACCUUUGAUCAUUAUCAUAAUUAUCCUCAUGUUCAUUUAAGAACCUAAAAUUGAAUGAAAUUAGGAAUAUUGGCAAGAUGUGUUAGUUAGAUGAAAAUGAAAAAUGAAAACAAUAAAAUAAAUGAAUGAAAAUGCAUAAUUCUUACUCUAUUAUUGAAAUAAUAAUAAAUAAAUAACCCAUACAUAAAAAAAAUCAUUCUAAUGUUUUUAAGCAUAAGUAAUUGAGAUGCACAAUUACAUUGAAAAAGUUUUAAGGAUAGUAGGCAUUUCAGUGGUGCUCUAAUUAUUUAGCUAAUAACUUGACGAAUAAGAAUGGAUCGAUAUUUCAUGUCCAUGCCUCUUUUCAUUUCCAAUUGCAUAGAUGGCAAAUGCAGUAAAUGCCUCCUCUAUGCUUAAUUUUGGCUCCUCUUCAAAAUCUUCACCUGACUUCAGAUUUAUAAACCUUCUAAGCUUGAAGGUAUCAUAGAGGUGUAGAAUGACCAUCGACAUAGCUUUUGAUUCAUAACCUCUAAGUUUUGCCUCCUUACUUUCCCUUUUAUUCAUUCGUCUCUUCUUCAUCUCCUAGCCUUCUAUUUCAUAGCCCAAACCUAGCCUCUCACUGUUGUCAACAAUCAUCGAAAGCUCUUUUAUUCUUUGCAAAUUUUUUAUACAACCCUACUCUAGGAUACUAACCUUUAUUGGUGAUCUAAUUCACCACUAUGUUUAUGAAACAAGGUUGGUUUGUCAUAGGUUCUUCAGUAAUAGAAUUGAUAAGCUUAAAGGAUCAAUAGAAGCAUUCUAAUGCCUCUUCAGCAACCUCUAUAUAUAAGGCAUUUAUAGGCUGGGUUACCAACAUAUCUUCUUCUUCAAACACAAUGAUUAGUUGUCUCUUCAUGUUGAAUUUAACUUUUUGGUGUAGGGUAGAUGGGACAACACUUGUCAUAUGAAUCCAUGAUCUUUCCAACAAACAACUAUAAGAUUGGGAGAUAUCCAUCACUUGAAAUUUAAUAUUAAAGGUACAUGACCUAACUUAUAAAGGCAUCUCAAUAUCUCUUAAUAUAUUGCACCUGAUCCUAUAAAAAAACAUGUACAACCAUAUGGCUACUCUUCAUAUGUGACAACUUAAUUGGCAGCCUUACCAAAAUUGACAUAGGUAUGACAUUAAUAACAGAGCCACUGUUGAUGAGGAUUUUAGCUACGAUAUGACUCUUACACUUGAUAAUGAUAUAAAGAGCUUUAGUGAUUCUUUUUCUUUCUAGAGGAAUUUCAUCAUCACUAAAAUUUUAUAUAGUAUGGCACCACCAAAUUCCCAACUAAAUGAUUCACAUAUUCUAUUGACAUAUUGUGAGCCACAUAUGCUUGGUUUAAUACCUUCAGCAAGGUAUUUUGGUGAGAUUCAAAAUUUAACAAUAGUGACAAUAACGAAAUCCGAGUUGGCAUCUCGUUUAGUUAUUCAACCAUAGAAUACUCAUUAUGCUUUAUCAGCGUUAAAAACUCAUAAGCUUCUUUUUCAAUCACUGAUUUUUGGCAUUUUUUUUUUGAACACUACUUCAAGCACAUUCAGGUCUUUCCUAAUAUUUACUUUUUUCCUAUUUUUUUCAGCAUCUUUGGAAUAUAACAUUUUCCACUUCUGAUUAUGCCAUCCAUACCAAUUAUGUUAGCAACAUCAGUUUUAGGCACAGUCUAUUUUUGCCCUUAGACUAUCACAUCACAGCUACAUUUUCAUGGCAUAACUUUGUCAUCUGUAUAUGAAAACGAGGUAAAAACCUUAAAAGUUAUCGACUUAGGAAGUAGUUUGUCUAUGAUCGACUUUGGUUUUUCCUUAUAGUAGAUCAUUAGUGUUUUAGGAAUGAACUUUGAUGGUUUAUCGAUCAUAAACACUUUGACAUUUCUUGAAGUCUACCCUUCUUCGUAGAGCUCAAUCUGAUAAAAAUUCAUAAGCUUCUGUACCUCUUAAUGAAAUUGUUUAUAAGUUUCAAUGGAGUGACUAAAAACCUCACUAUGGUAUUUGCAUCUCUUAUUUGGAACACAUCGUCCAUGAUAAGUAUGUAGAUCCAUCAGUUAUAUCAUGUUAGCUUCAUACAAGGUAUCAAAUAGUUAACUGAGAAGAGUUUUAACUUUUUUCACUUUUUUUUUUACUCAACACUCUCGAUCCUCACUCAAAGUAUUGACAUUAUGAUUGGGUAAUGGAUUACCAUUGACAUUAGGUACUGUUACCUCAGUUGUAUGAAAAUUGAUCAUCUCAUCUAUAAUUAGACAUUGCACACCUUAUGCUUCAGGCCAAUGUAAUUUUCAGUAAAACAACCAAUAUUCUUAUAGUGGUAAUCAUAAUUAACUAUAGAAUUGUACCACUUAGGUUAAGAAAGCUUGAGUGAUUUCAGAUGAACAGAAGCGAUUAGUUAGUUAUUGUAGAGCUCUCAAUGCAACUCUAUAUAGCUCAUGAAGAUAGGGUUAAAAGAAGCUUUUUCCCAAAUAUUUCAUGGCUCUCACGAACCACUUAAUGGGUUAGUAGGAUGAAUUAGAGGCCUUACAAAAUAUUGGGGAUUAUAACCAUACAUAUAAGUCUGUAGCCUAAAAGUUGAUUGAUAUGUGAGUGGGUAGAAUGGUUGUAGAGGUAAGAUGUGGUGUUAUUUAUAGUAGGAUAGUGGAUGGGGUAGACUAGUGAUGGAUAGGGUUGGUAGUUUCUAAACUACUAUCUUUCAAAGCUUAUAGCCUGAGCUUCAGUUUUUUUCUUCUUAUGUGCUUUUUUAGUAAACGAUUUUUUUUCUUUCAACUUAUCAUUUUUUUAUAACAUUCUCAAUGAUUUUGCUUGAGAUUACUAUAUUAAUAAAAUUUUUUAUUGUAUUACCUAUCACAUUUUCAUAAUAGAGAGAUUUUAAAGUACUUAUAAAAAGUAUUGUAGUCUUUUUUUCAGUCAAAAAUAGCUUAACUUGAGCAACCAUAUCCCCCCACCUUAGCUAUACUCCUUAAAUGACUCAAUCUUUUUUUUUUUAUAUUCUGUAAGAAAAGAAGAUUAGGAGUUAGAUCUAUUAUGUGUCGAUAUUGAUUGAUAAUGUUACAAGCUAACUCUUACUAUGAGUGAAUAUAAGAUUAAUCAAGCUAGACAUACCAUCUAACAGGAAAGCUAGUAAGGCUAUCUUAUAAUGCAUUCAUCAAGAGCUUUUCAUCACUAGUAUGACAGCUAUUUUUUAACAGUACAUGAUAAUAUGAGUUAUUAAACACUUCGUACCAUUAUACUUUUUGAGCUUCAAAACUUUAAAUUUUGAAGGAAUAACAAUAUCUGAGACUAAACAGAAUCCAACAGCAUACAUUAAACUAUAAAAAAUAAUUUUUUCCACUGCUCAUAACCUUUUCUUGAACCUGUUCAUUUUUUAAUCAACUUUCGAGUCCUCCAAUAACUUAACCACUUUUAACUUCAACUUUUUUUUAGAUCAUUCAGAUCAAGAACCUAAAUUAGUUCUGAAGCCUUCUUCCCAAAGACUGGAUUAACAUAACUUUAAAAAUGACCUUGGGCUGCAGUAGAUUGUAUUCUUAGGUUAAUGUAUAGAUAAGCUUAAGAGAAAUUUGCUUAUGCCCCUUAAAGAGGUUGGCCUUAAUAAGGGCUAAAUUUUAGAGGGUACAAAGAAUCAAUUAUAUCCUGUAUAGGAUGAUGUGGCUAACUUAGAGCUUCUUUUACCUUUUUUUCUUUAUUCAGCUUAUUCAGGGCUUCUAAGAUUUUAUCCAACUCCCUCUAAGCUCUUCUUGGGCUUUUUCAAUCUUGUCAAAAUAAUUAAAGUUUUCUUGUUCCAUCUGUUUAGCUUGGGCUCUAGUGUUGCACUGGUGGUGAGUGAAGUUUUUAGACGGUGGAGCUAUCUUUGAACCUUAAGUACCACAAUUAUUAAUUAGAGAACUUAUUUAUGACUUAGUGUGAAAAAUAAAAAAUUAAUUAUGAAUGUAAAGCAUGAGAGAUGAUAUUUGCCUUUUAAAGAAUUUUCAACAAAAAUAAGCUUUCAUUUAUUCUACAAAGUCUGUUUACAUAAAAUCUAUUAUUUUUAAUUUGAAAAGACAUUUGACUUGUUUGUAUUGGUCUUUGGCCUCCUCAAUGAAGUUUAACAAAUGUUGUCCAUGCUUUCUUUUUGGGGUGACUACUUGCUUAAGAGUUUCAGUCGCUUUAACCAUGUCCCCUACCUUGAUCAUUGCCUUGUUUAUAUGGGUCACAAGAUGCUCUUUGUACUUUUGUCAUCCCAAGUUUUCUUUUUUGCUAUACCAAACUUGAUAUGAUAACUAUCUAUGCUCCCUUAUAAGUGUGGUAAUGUGAUUCUUUUGCUCAUUUAAUCUCUGUUUCAAAACCUUAAUAUAUUCUCUGAGUGCUUCAUUCUCUUUUUAAGCUUUUAUGCAUUCAUCUUCUAUCUAAGAAUAUUUCAUCUUCAAUCUUUCAUUUUCACAACCCAAAUCGAUUAUGUUUAUUUCUUUAGCCUCUGCUUGGAUGUGUAACCUUUUGUGUUCUCAAUGUGAUUCCAUCAGCUCAUUAAGGGUGGUAUCACAUUCUCUAGCCAUCUUUUAGACCCAACCCUUUGUAUUUCUAUCUUAAUAGUCAUCUUCUUGUAUUUUUGGUACAUCUUUGACAAAUCACUAAUAGAUGUGUCUUGUUCCUUUAUGAUAUUUUCCAUCUUGGCCUCUUGCUUCAUUUUUUUUCUUUCAUUUUCUCUUUUUUUUGCUUAGAGCCUUUAGAUUUUUUAGUUCAAUUUGUCUAUCUUAGAUUCAAACUCUUUUCUUGUAAGUUUCAACUCUGAAGGUACCUUUUUUAUAUGCAGUUCUACUAACUAAUAAGAACCACUAAAAAUAAAGACAAUUUAUUUGCCCAUUUUUGCCCUCCAUCUCAUAUAUCCUGGAGUGGCCCUAUUAAUGAAAAACCUAAGACUCACCCUUUUAGGAUUCUUUUAAGCCUUAAUCACCUUAUCCAUCAUUGCAGUAUCUUGGGCUCACUAUAUAAAAAGUCUAAUUUAGUGAGUUUGUGUGUCAUAAGUAUGAACUGCUUAGCUUUGAACUAUCUUCAUACUAUGAACGGUGCAUAACUUGUUGCUCUAUAUAAACUUAAAAGUGAGACUUCAGUCUCAUCUCCGUACUAAUACAACAUUGAUUCAUUACUCAUCCAUGAAACCAUCCAUUUUACCUAAGUACAAGUAAGAUCUUCUAAUAGAACCAUCCAUCCCUCCUUGGAUUUAGGCUUUAGCCAUUCACUCUCACAGAACUCCUUAAUUAGGGCUCGAUUACGAAAGUAAAGCUUUAAGAAUGCAUUCUUUUUACACUCAAAAUGACUCUUGAUCUAUAAAUAUAACAAUGGUACACACUCGACAAAAUGUCAUUUUCCUUUCGGAUGAUAAUAAUUCAAGGAUCUAAUUGUUUCUACUAAGAAUACAAGUAAAGAGUUGUAACCUUUUUUUGUGUACCAAAAGAAGUCAAUCACUUCUAUCUUAAUAUGACCUAGGAUCUUGGGAAAAAUCAUUAUGCCAUAUACCACCAAAGCAAAUAUAUCCAACCCUUAGUUAUCAUUAGAAUGUUUUAUGAUGAAGUGAUAAAAAAAACUCCCAAGGUAAACAGAUAUGAUUACUUCUUUUUUAAACUUGUAUAUUCACAUCUUCUUUUUUAACCCCUAUAAGAUCGAUUAAUUUCUUAUGAAAUAUUGGUGUUUGCCUUCUAACAUAUAUCUUAUCUAGUUAUUAAAGAUGCAAACCCAUCAAUGUGGAGUAUUCUAUAGUUGAUGUCAUGUCUACCUCAUUGAAGAUCAAACACCUAUAUGAAGAAUCCUAUAAUUGCAUAACUACUCUAAUAAGGGAAUUUUCCACUACUACUGAAAGAAGAUGUGUAAUAUAACCAUACUUCUCACAGAAAGCUGACUGUCUAUACUCUUUCAUAUCUUAGAUAACUUUUCUAGGUUAUUUUGCUUGAUGAGUAGAUGAACUUCUUUUGAUAAAGUAAAGAUAUAGUCUAAUGGUAAGCAAUCUCCCUCCUUUCGUUGGAUCUUUUUUUACUCAACCUUCAAAUCAUUGGUUGACUCACAUUUAGCAAAAAUGGAUAAGGCAUAAACCAAAUAAUCUGUGGACUCCAUGAAAGUUUUUGUUGAAAUAACUUUAAGGUAGUUUUCAUAUACAAUAUUUAUGCAUGUUUUAUGAAUAUGCAAUGUAAAAAAACAAAAGCAAAGAAAUUGGUUAGUUUCAAUAUCAUGGAAACAAAGAAACAAAUUAGGUAGCACAUAGAAAGUAAAUAAAAUAUCAUGAUUCCUAAACUCUGGUUUAAUUUUAAAAGGUAAAGGGAAAGAUGGCUCUACUUAUAGGUUAAGCUUCAUAAGGUUGACUAUAUGUGAUUUAAGCUAAAUCUAAAGGUUCUCAAAUUGUUUCUCACAUCAUUGUCUAUUAUAGACUCGUAAGGCACUUCAAUCCUCACUCAUUAUAGGUUACAAAUAAAAAAGAUUCAAUUUGAGUGAAAAUGUUUCACUAACCCGAGUAGAGACAUGAAAUCUUAUGAAAAUAUAGGUAUUUAACUCUCUCCUAAAGAGCGAAGCUCGAGUAUAGAGCUCAUAUUAUGUAAAUGUAAGUGAAUGAUAAAAUAAAGUAUAAUUAUAAACAGAUAAAACAUUCAAAGAAAAAAAAAUCUUAAUUUUAACUUAGGUUUUGGAUAACACGAGUUUACUAGCAUGACUCUUAGUGUCCCUAGUGGAGUCAUCAAACUGUCAUAAUGUAUAGAUAUGUAAAUCUAUAGCUAGGCUUAAUAAAAGGACUCAUCACCAAUCUUUUUUAUUUAUGUGCAAUUAGCCUCCUAAUAAAUUCAUUUCUACGAAACUAAAAUUAAGUUUCUAAGUAUAGUUAUUUGUGAAUAAGGUAAUAGCACCUCUACAUCACACAUCCAUAAGAUGAUACCAGCUUGAUUUCGUGUUAUCCAAAAACCUAAAAAACUUACUAAGUCAUUUAAUAUCAAAAAUUAUUCCUAAAUUACUCUAAUAUGUUAGUAAUAAUUUAAAAAUAUCCCCUUACCUUAAGAGUAUUCAAAGAGAUUAUUUAUCACGCUUUGAAGAGGCUCCAUCAUCAGAUUUAUUUAAUUUUUGUAAAAAAACUUUUAUUUAUGACAAUUGAAAUUUUUAUGAAAAUCUUGAUACUGAAAAUAUUUUCUAAAUUUUUUAAUAUGUUGGUAAAAUUUAGAAAGAAUUUCUCACCUAGGAAUUUACAUAAAGAUUGCUAUUUACAAUGUUCUUAAUAAUUUCAUUAUCGGAGAUUCAAAAUCUAACUUUAAAAAAAAAACUCUUUAUUUUCAUGAACGUCCUCCAAUGUAUUGGUAAAAUUUUCUGCUAUAAAUUAUCUUCUAAUAUGUUGGUAGGAUUUUAUGAAAAUUAUUUCUUUUCUAAAAAUUAAUUUUUAUUUAAAAAUCAUUAGGCUUUCCAAUAAGUUGGUAAAACUUCAUCUUAAAAAUCAAAUUACCUUCUAAUAUGUUGGUAAGGCUUUGUUGAAAAUUAUUUUUCCUUUUGAAAUUUAUUUUUUAUAAAAAAUUAAUAAGGUUCUUCAAUAUGUUGGUAAUUUCUUAUUUUUUAAAAAAAUCAAAUUACCUUCUAAUAUGUUGGUAAGGCUUGUUGUUUUAUUAAAACAAUUAUUUUAAGAAAAUUUGAGCUCUCCAAUAUAUUGGUAAGGUUCUUUUUAUUUUAUUUAAAAAAAUAUUUUUUCUCUUUUUUUAAAAUAAUAUUUACAAAUAAAUGACAAACAAAUAAUAAACAGAAACAUAGAUGGAAAACAAAUAAAUAGAUAAAUAAAUAACUAAACAUAAAUGAAAUAAAUAAAUAAAAAUACCAAGAAAAUGGCUCAGCUUGGCGGUUUAAAGAAUGUGGCUUAAGGCACAUAGACACGGCUUAAACAGCUAGGAAGUGACUCAAAAUUCAGUUCAGCUCGACUCAAAAGUAUCUAAAGGAAUCAGGUCAAGUGCGCUACAAAUCGAGUCGACGCAUGGAUCCUUCUCAAGUUAACACGCAGAUCUUAAAUCUUUUUAAUGCAAAUGGACGUCGUAUGGAUGAACUAUAAAAGGCCCAAAAUUUCUUUUUUUCUUAGAUUUUUUUUCCCUAUCUCUUUCUUUUCAGACUUUUCUUUGCUUUCUCUCUUUAACCGAUAAAAACACCAGUUGAAUCUCUUCGCCGUAUUUUGGAAAACCAAACCAAAAUAUGGGUUUUCCAAAAUUUUCUAAAAAAAAACCUUCCAAAUCCUUUCUAUCUUCUAAAAUUCCCCAAUAACACUAGAUCAACCAGAUUUUCUAAAAGGUUGUGUAUAAUCUCUACUAAUUUGUUGUGAUUUUUUUGCAUCUCUUUUUGUUGAAUUUGGGUUCGUAUUUAUAAAGUUUCAAAUUAUGAGAACAUUAUACCAAAAAAAGUUUCAAUUUCCCUUUAGUUCCAACUUUAAACUUUGAUUUUAACCCAAACUUUAUAAUCCCAAAAGAAACAGUCACGAACAAACUCAACCACCCCAAACUUUCCUGAUAGUUCCUUUUUCAUUUUUUUAACAAUAAAAUUAAACCUCAGACAAAAUGAGGUGUCUACAAUAUUAAAAACAAUUUAUUCUUCAUUUAUUUUUAUGUAAUGUUAGUUUACACACACAAAAUUCAAAUAUUAAAUAUUUUAUCCUUUUCUUAAAAUAUAUGAGUUUAAAUAAAAAUAAUAAUAUGAAAAUUCAAUAUAUUAAUUUCAAGGUUUGUAAGUAUUAAUUGUUUUUUGAAUAAAUUAAUAUAAAAAUUAGAAUAUGAAGGGUUAGCAUAUUUAUCUAUAUAUAUAAUUAGAUUCCAAAUAAUAAAUAUGUUAAUUAAUGAUGCAUAAAUGUUACAUAUUAAGUUGUUAGAGUGUGUUUGGUAUAUAAGAUUGUGAUAUGAUAGAAUAAAAUGAUAUUAUGAAUAAGAUUAAAUUAAAUAAUAUCAUCAUAUUUUGUAUUUAAUCUGUGCAAAGAUUAAGAAAUGAUAAUUUAUUUAUUGAUCAAAAUUAUCUUUUCUUAAAAUUUAUACAAUUUAAAUUAUUGAUAUAAUUUGUAAGGAUAUAAUAGAACAUAAAAGUUUAAUCUUAUAGAUUAAAAAUAAUCUUUUUCAUUUUAGGAAGAUUGAAUUAUCCUAUGCCAAGAAAAAAAAUGAUAAUCAUCCUAUCUUAUCAAUUAUCUUAUACAUCAAACAUGACCUUAAUUCAUUAUUUAUUUAAAAUAAAAAGUAAAUUAUAAAAUGUUAGAAUAUUAUUCUUUUAUGUUUUCAUGUUUUAAUAAUUAAUGAUUUUAAAAUAAAAAAGAGAAAAUUAUAUAAAUUAACUUUCAAACUUUCAAUAUUUUCUACCAACAAAACAAAUUAAAAUGAUAGGAUAAAGAAAAUCUAUAAAUAUUAUCAUAUUAAUUUUAAUCUUUUCAUAAUCAAUUUAUUUUUAAAAACUUUUUACAUUUUACUAACAAUUGAAUUUAAGAAAAAUGAUAGAGAUACAAAAAGUCAUAAAAUAUUAUAUUAAUUUUAAUAAAGGGAUCAAAUUAUACAAUUGUAAAAUUAAUUUGUUUUACACUCUUUAAUAACUCCAUACAUGAUAAAUACUUUUACAAAUCGACCAUUAGAUUUAACAAUCUACUUGUAACUAUCAUUCAUGUAAAGUUUCAAGUCAAUUCAAUAUUCCUAUCAUUUCGAAUGCAAGUAAUAUUGUUUUGAAUAUACAUUAAUGAUUAAAAUUUUAUUAUUAUCACACAAAUAGAUUAACAAAUAUUUUAAAUUUACUCAAAAUUUGGCAAUGCAUGAUUUACUUAAAUAGAACACAAAAUUCAAUGGUUGGAUUAACAAAUAUAAAUUGUAUAAAAAGAUAUGAAACGGUUCAAAUUUAGUUUUACACAUAUCUAGGUGGAUCUCUCUUCAUUUUUUGUUUUCAUAUUUCUUUAUUUAGUGAUUUUAAAAUAAAUAUUUGAAAAGAAAAAGAAAUAUAAAUUAUCCUUACGUUAAAAAGUCUCAUAUUCUACUAGUUACUUAAAUUUAAUUAAUAGUAGAAAGACGAAAAGUGACAAAUCAUUAUUAUAUGAAUUUCAAUUUAUACAUAUUUUAUGAAUUAAGGAUUUAAAAAUAAAUUUUAAAAAAAUAAAAAAUAUAAAUAAAUUUUAUUAAUUUUUCAUUUUUUUUUUCUACAGAUUUUCAGUAUUUCAUUUGUCUUUAAUAAUAAUUUUUUAAUAUGAUAGUUAUUUUAUUUUUUUUAAACUUUAUUUUUUCAAAAAAUUAAUCAUGCUAAACACAGAUAAAAAAACCUAAUGUAUAAUAAAUUUCAUAUCAAUUAAGUCAAUUAAGUUUGAGGUAUUGUGAACAUAUAUUUAAAAAUAAUCUUUUAAUCAGACUAAUUUUUAAAUUAAUUAACAUAUUAUUAAAAUUAACAUUUAAAUAUUGUAAGUUCGAAGAAAAUUUAUAAGCAUAAUAUGUUCUUUAGUUGGAUAAAUAUAAGGGUUUGAAAAUGGCUACGCAGGUAUCUCAUCUUUCUUACUUAGUAGUGUCAUGGUUUUGCCCUAUUGGCAGAAUCGGUUCACUCAGCCGAUUGCCAUUCUGCCAAAGGCGAGCCCAACCGUAACUAUCCAAAUGUUUCCUCAUGCCUUUAAUCUAGUGUUCUCUAUGUGCUCCGAUGUCUUUUUCUUGAUUGACUUAUGAUAUCUUGAUCGACUUAAUGAUAGUGAAAAAGAAUAAUAUGAAUUGAAAUGAUUUUUUUUUUGUUCAAAACAAACGAAGAUCAGAUUUUUAGUAUGAUUUGACUUGCAAUUUGAUGUAAUUUUUGUUUUUUAAGUUAAAUUUGAUUUAGGUGUUUUAUUUUUUUAUUUAAUUUAAUAUUUUUAUUGAAUAAUAAGAUUUUUAUUUGAAUUUUUAAAUGCGGAUUCUGACUUUCUUUUUUGUUUUUGGAUAGAUUUUGUAUUAGAUCAUGAAUUAAUUUUUAAGUUAGAAUUUAGAUGAAAGUAAUUUUUUUGUAUAAUUGGGAUGUUAGUUUUUGUUCAACUUGGGAUUGUAUUAGAUUUUUUUAGAUAAAUUAAAUAAGAAUUUUGGUAUGAUUUUGGUUAUCUAAAUUUUUAAGGAUUGAAUCUCCAAUUAUUUUUAUGAAAUAAUUCAUCUAUUCUAAUUGUAAAUUUUUUUUAUGAUUUACGGGAAUUAAUUGAUUGAAUUACUAUUGUUAUCCUGUUAGUGUUGUUUUCAAAAUGAUAAUUAGCACUUAGCUUUGGAUUAUAACCUUUAUGCAAAGUGGAAAAUUUUAUAAAGUACAGUGAAAUGUUGAUUGGGACCAAUGAUGGAAUAGCUGAGAUUUUUUUUUUUUUUUUAAUUUAUAACUUUUUUGGAUUUAAAAAAAAAAAGUAAAUUGUUGAAAAAGAAAGAAAAAAGUUUUAAAAAAAUCACAAUUUAAAAAAAAUUAAUAAAAUAAAUCAUAAAAUAAUUAAAUAUUAACUUUUAAAUUUUAUAAAACACUUUCAAUCCCUCUUAAAUAAUAAAAUGAUUUUAUGUAAUUUACCUAAAAAAAACCAACCUACCAUCGAAAUAUCUACCAAGGCAAGAAUGGACAAAAUUAUGGCAUUUUGGAAGAUAGUGAUGAAUUGACCAAGUAAAACAGCGGGUGGUUUCCAAAUCGGCAACGAUCUAAAUCAUGUGCCUUAUCCAUCUUACCAAACGGGACUAUCACAGAUAUUUCAUAUUCCUCCAAUGACGGACAACAGUCGGAUUCUAUGUUAAUAUUAAAUAAAAAUUAUAUUUUGCCCACUCUAAAAUAUAAUUUUUAUUUAUUAAUUUAUUUAAGGUUAAUGUUAUAAAUAAUUUUAAAUUAUAAUCAAAUAUUUAACAUAAUAUAUAAAUUUUAAAAUAUCUAAAUUAAUAUGAUAUUUAAAAAAUUAUUUAUUUAUUAUAUAUCAUUAUUUAAAAUUAAAUGUAAUAAAAUAAAUAUCAUAUUAAUUAAUAAAUUUAUAAUUUAAAUUUUAUAUUAAAAAUUUUUAAAAUUUAAAUAUUAUAUUAAAUAUUUUACUAUAAUUUAUAAGCAGUUCAUAAUAUUUAUUUUUUUAUUUAUUAAUUUUUUAUAUUUUAAUCUUAUACAUUGUAAAUUAAAAUGAGUUAAAAUUACAUUUUUAUUUAUUUAUUUAUUGUGCUCAUUAAUUAUUAUUUAUAAAUUAUAAAUUAUCAAACCUCGAAGGAUAAGAGGUGUCUUUCAAACUAAAAGGAUAAAUAUAUUUUCUAUCAAAUUCAAGGAUAAUAAUAAUAAUAAUAUCACAUGUGACGAGCAAUCGAAUAGUUCAAUUGUAAACUAUUCUUUAAUUAAAAGUUAUUUUCACUUGAUGGCAAUUUUAAUAUAAUACUCCACGUACAAAAUUUUUUCAAAAACCAUUUUUAUUUAUUUUACUCUCCUCUGCUCCAACCAACUAUUUUUCUCCCUUCUUUCUACAUCCAAAGAAAAAAAAAAUUAAUACAGUAGCAAGUUGUCAACAACUUAAUUGUAAUGUAUGUAUAGAUUGAUGUAUAGAUAACAUGCUUAAUUCCUUCAAUUAAUAUAUUAUUUUAACUUAAAAUCUUAAUUAAUUUAAUUGAUUUUAAUUUUAAAAAAAUCAUGAAUUUCAUUGUAAAAGCUCUAACUUUAUCUUACCCUACUUGAUGAUAUUAUAUAAAGAUAAUGUCACAAAUUGCUCUUUAAUUAUAAAAAAAAAAGAUUAAUAUGAUAUUUGAAUUUUAAAUAUUUUUAAUAUAGUAUUUGAACAAUGAAUUUUUUAAUUAAUGUGGUAUUUGAAGGUUGUUUGUCAAUUUUAUAUCACUAUUUAAAGCUAAUAAUAUUAAAAAUGAAUAUCAUAUUAAUUAAUUAAUUCAUAAUUAAAAAUUAUUAAUUCUUUUAAUUAAUACUCCAUUUCAACUUAAAAUCUCAAUUAAUUUAGUUCAUUCUAAUAAAAAAGUCACAAAUUUCUUUGUAAAAGCUCGAACUUAAUGAUAUUAUAUAAGAAUAAUCUCACAAAUGUUUCUUGAACUAUGAUGAAAUGUUUAAUAUGAUAUUUAAAUUUUAAAAAUAUUUAAUGUAAUACUAAAAUUAUAAAUAUCUUAACUAAUAUAAUAUUUUAAAAUUUAUUUAUCAAUCACAUAUUAUUAUUUUGAACUAAAUGAUAUUAGGGUAAAUAUCAUAUUAAUUAAUAAAUUCAUAAUUUAAGUAGCACAUUAAAAUUUUUUAAAAUUUAAAUAUCAUAUUAAAUAUUUCAUUAUAAUUUAAAAUUUAUUUAUAAUAUUAACCCUAUUAUAUAUUCCUCAAACAAUUCUUCACUUUUAAUUAUUGUGUUUUAAAUAUCACCUAAAAAAUUAUUGUGUUUCAAAAGAAACUAUUUUGUAUUGGAAAAGAUUUUCCAUUGUUCAUAUCCAAGGCAUUUGUUUUGUGAAUACAAGAAAGCAUUUAAUUUAAUUUGCAAAUCAAAAUAAUUUGUGAAUAAUGGUGAGGCUUGCAAGUUCAAAUUGUUAUUAGACAAAAAGAUCAAGUUUUUUUAAAGAGAAUUAAUUAUUUACCAUUACAUAAAAUUUUUAAAACAUAAUCUUAAUAAAUAUUUUUAAUACUCUAUUAUAAUAAGGAUUAAUAUUAAAAGAUUAAUAUAAUAUUUAUAUAGCUAUUUAUUUAUCAUAUAUUAUUAUUUAAAAAUAAUUAUAUUAUCAUAAAUAUCACAAUAAUUAAAAUUUUUAUAACUCGAAUGUCAUAUUAAAAAUUUUAAAUAUUUAAUAUUAUAUUAAAUAUUUUUUUAUUAUUUAUAAAUUUUCAUAACAUUCAUCUUUAUAAUAAUAAUAAUGAAAUAAUUUCAAGUAAAUAAUUUCGAGAGCCGACAAGAAUUUGUGAUUAGAUUUCAUUUGAUUUGAGAUAUUAAGUUAUUAAAAAUAUUUUAAAUUUAAUUUUAUAAUAAAAAUAUUAAAAUUUAAUAUUUUAAAAAAUUUUGGACCUAUUGAAUCCAACACUCCGGAUUUCGGACCACACCUCAAACAUUAUCUUAAAAAGCUGACCGAACUUUGACCUGGCCAACCUGACACAUCUGCAGCUCUAAUCCCGACUUCCCAAGUGGGCUAAUUGCCAUAAUACCUUUGUUUUUGCUUUUGAUAUGUUUGUCCAUAAUAAAGUUAAUAACAUGUUAUCAGUCUCAAAAAAGUUUUAAUUAAUUAGUUAUUUUUUUAGGAAUUAAUUAAUUAAGUUUUAGAUUAAUCUAGUUUCUUCUUCGGCCGUCAAAGAUUAUAGAAAAGCUAUCAUUGUCCAUUAAAAGACAAAAUUGCUUGACCUAAACGGCUUUAUCAACAAAAAUAUAUAAAGAAGGGAUAAUACCUAAUUUGACACCUAAACUAUCAUAAUUUUUCUAAUGUGGCAUCUAAAUUUAAAAAAUUAGUAAUCAAAUACUCAAAUUUUAAUUUUAUAUAUUAAAUUAUCCUAAUCUCUUAUCAUUAUUAAAAUAAUAUUUAAAUAAUAUUUAAAUAUUGACGUGAAUGAUAUAUAAUUACCAAUAAUAAUGAUGUGAUUAUCACGUUAUUUUUAAUAAAUAACAACUUUUUUCUUAAAAAUUAUAUUUAUUUUUUUUAAAUAAUGCAUAAAAAUCAUAUCUAGAAUAGGGAAUGGUUAGGGUAGAGUAAAGUAAAACACUUCUUAUCUCCAUCGAUAAAUUUUUAUAUUAUACUCAUUUUUAUAUUCAUAUCUUUUGAGUAUUUUAAAAUUAUUCAUAUUCACACCCUCACGUAAAAAUAAGUAUGAGUAAUCUUUAUAUUUAUAAUUUUAAAAAAUUAAAAACUAAAAUUUUUUAAAUUUUUAAAUUUUUAUCUUGUAUAUUUAAGUAAUUUUUUAGAAAUAUAUAUUAAUAGUUUUCAAUAAAAAUAUAUUAAUUUUAAUUAAUCUAAAAUAAUAAUUUAUGUAAUCAAUUGAAUUCGAAUCGAUACAGUAUUAAGCUUAAGUUUGAGCUUAAUUCGAAAUUUGAAACUCAAAUUUUGACUCUAACUUGAUCAAAUUUUAUUUUUUUAGUUCAAGUUCGACCCAAGAUAAAAAUCAAACUACUUAAACUCGUUUAAUUAAACUCAAUUAACAUGUAAAAAUAAAUUCAAUUUUUAUAUUUAAUAAAUUUUUGAUUAUUUAUAUUUGAGUUCAAGAUAUUUUAUUAAUUAAAAUAUAUUAAAAUAUAAAAACUCUAUUAAACUAUAUUUUAAUAUUUUAAUAUAUUUUAAUUAAUAAAAUAUCUCGAACUCGAUUUAAUUAAUAAGUCAAUUUACUUAAGCUUGAGUUCAACUAAAUAAUAAUCGAAUUGAAUUUAAAUUUUAUUCGAAUCAAAUCCAAAUAAUUUAUUGUACUAAUAUAUCAGUUACAUCUUAUGUACGAUAUGAGUGCAAUAUUACCUAUUUCUAAUCCUGUAACUAAUAAAAAUUUAAAAUCAUACAUAUUCUCAUCUCCAUACUCACAAUAUAAUAUUUAUCUCUAGCUUUAUUCAAGUAAAAAAUUAAAUUUUUCAUUGAAUAUGAAUAAAAUUGAUAUUUUUAAUUUAGAUCACGUUACAAUCAUGUGUUAUUUAUAUCAAUAUUUAAAUAUCAUAUUAAUAUUAUUUUAAUAAUAUUAAAGGUUGAGACAAAUUAAUAUUCGUAAAAAUAGUUUAAGUACUUGAUUACAAAUAUUUUUUAUUUAGAUAUUACAUUAGAAAAUAAAUAAAAUAGUUAAGGGAUCAAAAAAAUAGUAUCCCUGUAAAAAGUAAGUACUGCUGAAAAAAUCAUUAUUAUUAAUUUUCUAAUAUUUAAUUGGAUGUUUUGAACACAAGAAAAACUAAAACAAAACAAAAAGCUUUCUCCGUUUCGAUAUUGUAUUCGAACUAAUUGCACAGGAUCUUUAAAACAAUCUGAUGAAAUAAGAAAUUACUAUCAUCAGAUUUAAAAAGCAUCAAUUUUGAAAGCAGAAUCCCCAGAUUCAUAUAUUCUCUCUUUAUUUUGGUUUCUCUCCCUAUUUCUCUUGUGCUAAUGGAAGCUGAUGUAUCCAUUCCCUUCUGAACCCCCAACAAAAUCAAAUCCCUUCCUUUAGACAGAGAAUUAGGGUAUUUUAUUUGAGGUCGAAUUUAUUUUUGGUAAUUUUUGGAUUAAGAUGAAUCGUGCUGUGGUAUUAUUAUUAUUAUGGGUUCUCUGUUUAUUGAGUGUUUGUUGGAUGACGUCAGCCGGUGUUGUGUUGAUUGGAAGCAACGUUACCCUCUCUUUUGAUGCUAUUGAAGCUAAUUUUGGUAAGCUUUUUUUUUUUCUUUUUUAAAUUUAUUUUCGAUUUGUUCUGUUUAGUUCUUGAGUAAGUGUGGGAAAAUUCAGGAAAUUUUGGAUCUUUAGGUAUUCUAAGAGCUCAAAGUUGAAUAUGUGUUUUCUUAUUUGAGCUGAACUUAUUUAAUUUGAUUGAAUAUGUUAUUUUAUCUUUUGUUUGUAUAAACUGUGCAUGAAAUGAGAAAUUGAAGUCUAUUGGUGUUGAAAAUAUAAGUGAAUGUUUGUUUUACGAUUUUGUUUUGUUGGUAAUUUUCAGCUCCAGCAAUUAAAGGGUCAGGGGAAUGUGGGGUAUUAUAUUUGGCAAAGCCUCUUGAUGCGUGUUCGGAUUUGAGUAAUAAAGCUGAAAAAGUUUCGAAUGUUACUUCCCCUUUUGCGUUGGUUAUUAGAGGAGGGUGCAGUUUCGAGGAGAAAGUAAGGAGAGUGCAAAAGGCAGGAUUCAAAGCCGCCAUCGUCUAUAACGAUGAUGAUGAUGGUGUCUUGGUUGCAAGUAAUGCCCUGUUUCUUUGAAAAACAUCUUUUAUAUUGAAUGAUUGCAAUUGCAUAUUUAUGUACAUUUUGGUAAACUUGGUUUGCAAGAGCAAUUUGCUGCCAAUAAUCAUUAUUGGAACACUAUGUAAAUGAUAAAAUAGACCCUUUUUGUGUCAAUAAAUUCUGGGAGAUCUUUAACAGGAUUUGCUAAUAUAAAUAAUAUUGUAAAUCCUAAAAAACCUGUUGUCCUCUUUGAAUUUCCUUUUGACCUUAUUUGUCCCUAAAUCUUGAUUGCAUCAGUUUAAUUACUCAUCUUUUGUUUAACCCUUUCAGACAUUUUGACCAUAAGCAUUCUCACAUAUGAUGUAUUUGUUGAAUGGUAGGUUGGUGUGAUUUGCUAGUCAUUAAACCAUAUUUAUGUUUUCUGAAAACAUGAGUAACCUCAUGGACCACAAAUUUAAUUUUGUAGAAUAUGCUUUUCAUCUUUAGUAGGGAUUGGGCUGAUGUAGUUGUUCGGCAAAGUUUGAUAAGGAAGAAGUUGGAGAAAUGUGCUUUGCAUGAUCUAGAGUCCCUAGUUAACUCCCACUAGUAAAUAUUGUUUUCCUAUAGAUAGAAAACUUUUCAUCUUACUCUAAUUUAUCUGGUCUCCUAGAUAAAAUUCUGUACUUGGUUCUGUUUCUGAUGCAUAUAAUUUUGUGAACAAUUUGAAUCCAUCGAUCUUGGCAGACAAAAAUUGCAAAUUUUUUUCCAUUUUAGUCCUCCUGCAUUUGCCACAUACUUGUAAAAUUAAUUGUAUAUUAUGUGAUUCUUCAAAGCAGUAUGCAUAUUAUACCACUUAAACAGUUUAUUAUGAUAACUCGUCAUGCUUAUAUCUUCAGUUCUUUAGAUUUAGUUCUUAGUUAGAAACAUGUUACACCUAUCAAACUGUAAAUACCUUAAUCAAUCACACCUUUAAUUGCCGAAUCAUCUCCAACAAGUAAAUACUUUUUGGAUGUUGGAUUUACUGUCUGGAAGAUAACUUUUUUGCUAGGGUAGAUUGCAAAUGACAGUGGGUGAUGAAAUUAAAGAUGUGUUAUAUGGGACAGUGGUGUAUUUAUGCUGGACUCUGAAUGCUUUCAAGAGGAGUGAGAAUUAGGACCAAAUCUUUACCAUCAUUUAAUUUAAUUCAUCUACAUUUAUAAAUAUUCUGCCCUUAUUCAUUUAGACAUAUUUUUGUUCCGUUGCAAAUUCCUUUAUUAUUUUUAUUUUUAAUAUUUCCUUGAGUGGCAGAUGUUUAUUUGUUUCAGUCAUUGUUGUUGUUCUUGAACAAAAAUAUACUUUUCUAUAUGAUGCCUCUAAUUUUACCCUUUUUUUUAUAGUGGCUGGGAAUUCAGCUGGCAUAAAGAUACAUGCUGUCUUUGUUUCCAAAGCCUCUGGUGAAAUACUCAAAAAGUAUGCUGGGUCUACUGCUAUGGAGUUAUGGCUAAUCCCUAGUUUUGAAAACUCAGCAUGGUCGAUCAUGGCCAUCUCCUUUAUUUCUCUACUUGCCAUGUCAGCAGUGCUGGCAACUUGUUUCUUUGUACGUAGGCAUCGCAUUAGACGAGAACGCCCUCAUUCUUCUCGAGUUCGUGAAUUCCAUGGAAUGAGCAGGCGUUUGGUAAAAGCAAUGCCUAGCUUGAUAUUCACUGUGGUCUUAGAAGAUAAUUGUACAUCUAGAACGUGUGCAAUAUGUCUUGAAGAUUAUACCGUGGGAGAGAAACUCAGGAUUCUUCCAUGUUGUCACAGUAAGCUUCUUACAACACUGAGGAUGACAUUGCUUGCUAUUUUUGUGUUAAUUAUAUUUAUUUUAAUUUGGUGGCCAUGUGUCCUUUUGUAUGUAUUUUGCAUAGAGAUUAGGCCAUCAAUCUCAUGAGACAUUUUUUGUUGGUGGCUAUCAUAUUUCUAUUGUUUCCCAAUGGCUGUUUGCUGUUUGCACUAGCACAAAUUUAGCUUUAAGAGGAGAUGAAAACUAUUUGUUCCAUUUGAUUUAGAAGCAUUCAGAUACUAAUAAUUUCUUCUCAAUGAGUUCAAUAAUAAUACACAGUGCACUUGAGAUAAUAAUUCUGAUUAGUAUCCCAUUUUAAAAUCAAAACUCAAAUAUGGGAAGCUAGGGAGUAAAUGGACAUUGUUUCUGAGUUUCGCAUAGACCAGAAAAUAUUGUUGUAGACUUGUAGUGCACAGCUGUGAAUUCACAAUAGCUUUUGUAGCCAUACGCUUGAGGGGUUUAUCUAACUUCUCUUCUCAGGAAUUGUUCUUUGUUAUUAUAAAAAGAAUAUUUCUUGAAUGAUUAAAGCAAAUGUCAUUAGCAGGUCCUUUGCAUUCUUAUUCUAAAAUUCUCAAAAGACAUAAGUUAGAGUUGAGUGGGAAAAUGGAUUCAUAUAUAUAGUUGUCCCAAAUGUUGAAAUUUGAUUAUCAUGUGAUAUUUGCACGUCCUAAAUCUUAUAUCUCUUAAAGAAAUCCAAAUUACAAUUGAUUACAGAAUGCAUGCAGACUUACAUGUGCUCACCUCCAUUUAUUCUUAUAUCACUUGUUUGCUGUCCUGAGAUAAUUGUUUAUUCCAUUCAUUUAAAGACACAGAUAUACUCUUUGAUGACUCAAGACUGGAGGAGAACGUUUGUAUUACUAUUAUUAUACAAAAAAUUUUUCUUGUUAUGUUACGUAAUUACUAAUGUAUCUCUAAGAUCUUUGCCUUCAAAAAGAUUUUUAAGUAAAUAGUGUUGCAUUGCUUGGUCAAUCAAGCUCUUAGGGUGUGCUUGAUAGAGUAGAAAAGUAGAAGGAUGGAUAGGGGGUGGAAAAUCUGAAAGAAAAUGACUAUUGGGUGUGCUUGGCAAGAGAGAAAAGUGAGAAGAAAAAAAUAGGAAAGAUGUUCAUUUUUCACCCUCAUUCACAAGAAACAGACCAUUCCAAAUCGGAAAGAUAGGAGAAGAGAAAAUGAGAAAGAUUUGAGUCAAGUGUGCUUAUUUACAAGAUCAUCUAUAAUUUUUUAGAUUUUAUCUUGUUAUCGUAACUUAAGUAAAGUAUAAUGGUAAAAUAAUAUAAUUAUUGUAUUCCUUCUUCUCAUUUUUUAACCAUACCAAGUAAUGGAUGAAAAGAAAAUUACUUUUCCUUCCACAUUUCCAUUUUUCCUACUAACCUUAAUAUAAAAGAAAACAUAUAUUUUCCAUUUUUUUUUCACUUUUCUCUCCCUUCAAUUUUCUAUCUUUUCAUUUUUCUAUCCACUCUUAGUUCUGCUACAUGAGCUUUUUGUUUGUAGUAAAUAUUGCUAAUAUUUUCCCUAUUUGUCCAAUUGUUGCUUCCUUCUCAGUGACUAAGUAGUGUCAUGUUCAAGGUAGUGAUAUUAGGCUCCAUGAUUUCUGUUGGUCUGAGUUUUGGGUUUGUUUAUCAUUUUGGUAAAAACAAAUACAUGUGUAUGACUUCUUUGAGUGUAGCCAUUACCCUUAAGAUAUUUUGUUUGAAUUGUAAAAAAGACUUUCAAAUUAUAAGGUGUUUUGUAAUGUUUGAAAGAACACGAUACAAGAUCAAAUGCCAAAGAAAUCUAGAGUUGUGGUCUGUUCUUAAUGUUGGACUAAUCCUAAUUCCUACAUACCUUUCUUUCUUUUAUUCUAAUUAUCUUUAAGAAAAAGUUGUUUGAAUUGUAAGGAAGACCUUACAAUUUGGAUGUGGUUAUGGAUGGGGGAAAGAACAAUAAGCAAUAUUAAUGCCAAAGAAAUAGGGGUCUUGAUCUUUACCUGAUGUCAAAACUAAUAUAGAAUCUUAGCCAGCUGGCUUAGUUAUGAUAAGUUUUAAUUUCAUGCAUGUUUGUGCUAGGAAGUAGUAAAUUUUAUUUAAUCUGAUUAUUUCUAUAAAUUUAUGAGUCAAGAUUCUUCUGGUAAUUUUCAGAUUUUCUGGAAAUUGCAAAGUGUGUAGUCCAAGAGGCUUAUUAUUUUGGGAUUUUAUUUAGAGCAUAGGAAUUUUUUUUAAAAAGUUGACUCCAGUUGGAAAAUAUCCUUGUUGGUUUAGGUUAUCUGGAAGUCUAAACUGCUUCCAAUUAAUUAUAUCACAUUUAGGAAAAAUUUUAGCAGCUGUUAUACUUUUAUUAGGAUUGCAUUUUAGUAACCCUAGCUCAAGGUGAAAAUCCACCAGAUGCCAGGUUGUGACUUGUAAGGAUAUCUCGGUGUCAAGCCUAGACCUUAUCUUGUUUCUUUUUAUUAUUAAAUUUCCCACUCUGUUUAGGUUUAAAACCAACCCUUCUCUGUCCUGCAUGAAUUAUUUUUUUGUUAUAUUUUAUGUUGUGAUUUUCAAGAAUAUGAAAUACUGCUUCUAAGAAGCAGUCAUGAAAUAUGUAUGAAUUGUGUCCUUAUCAUCCCCUCCCUCGAACAAAUGUAGCUUGAGGAAAAAUUAAAAGAAAUAUAUCAAUUUUACAUCAGUUAUUUAUUAUUUUUUAGUUUUAUUUGGAGCACCAUGAGUUGGGAAUGUAUACCCUUGCUAUCACUCUUGCCUUCUUAAUAGUGACAUCUAGAAAGCUUCUUCAACUUCUUACUUGGUUUGUUUACUUUAUUUUUAUUUAUUGAAGUUUAUACUUUAUGUGUAUAUCUGAAUAUUUAUUGGCAUUUUUUUCUCAGAGUUUCAUGCUUUCUGUGUUGAUUCUUGGCUUACGACGUGGAGAACUUUUUGCCCUGUUUGCAAACGAGAUGCAAGAACUAGCCCAAGUGAUCCACCUGCGUCAGAAAGUACACCAUUGCUUUCAUCCACCCCAAGCUCCAUGUCUUCCUCUGUGUUGUCAUCUGUUAGAUCCUCAUUAGCAUCAUCAUCAGCCAUACAAAUCGCCCCUGAAGCAUCAUGGUCUCCAUCAGUUUCUCAUACUCAUUCUCUUGUCAGUAGUCCAUAUAUUCCGCAAUCACUUGGGUCCUACCAUCAAUCUCCUUCCAUGAGCUAUAGCCGAAGCUCAGUAGAUCUUAGGAACACAUACUCUCAAAGAUCUCAUGCUUCUCAUUUGGUUUCACCGGCCUCAUUUAAUUACCCAUCUAUAUCACCUCUUAAUGCAAGAUACAUGUCCCCCUGUUUACCAAGCCCAAGCAACGCGUCACCAAAUUUAGUGAGUUCUUCUGGUCACCACCUGCAUCCACUGCAUUACAGUGAGUCAGCUACUAGUUUUUCGCCUUUUGCAUCUGCUCAUUCUCUUCCAGAAUGUUAAUUAGAUGAAUAAUAACAAGCUGAAUUUCAUAUAAUGGAGUGAGCUACAUACAUUAAAUCUUUCCGAUCUUUGGUACUAAUCAUAGGUCAUUAUACCAUUAUCGGGCUCCUCUUGAUGUGAUUGCUUGCGUUCUUUUCCAAUGUCGAGAAUGUAACAUGUUGUUGCUGGAUUUGUACCUUGUUGCAUGAGAUUUGUGUCAUUUGUCUUGAUUCCCAAAAUGAUAUUGUGGUUUAUAUUAAUGAGGUUUUGAAAGUUUAUACUCAGAGAAUGUGUAUUAAUGUGAGUAGAGAAUUGUUAACAUUGUUUUAGCCGUCUGUGAAUAUAGUUAACCCUUAACAACUGAAUUCUGUAGAUGCCUAAUCAUGUUGAUAUUAGCAGUGUGUUGUUUCCAAUUUGGAUUUUCUUUUUCCAAAUGUACAAGUAACCUUAAUUUUCCACACUAAUAAUUGUUGAUGCUUUGAAGAGGAAAAAUGUGUUAAAAUCGUUUUACAUACCUUGCUUUGUUGGGGAAGAAAGGAGAGAAAUCUAUUGUAAACUUGCAAGAGCAUCUCAUUUUAAUGUCAAUGAAUGCUGCCUGUAAAAAUUCCAAGAAAAAAAAAACUGGGGGAUAUAAAGGUAAAAAAGUUUUGAAGGCACCCAGUUCUCAAUAGCAUUCUACUACUUAGAAGUUGAGAGUUCUCUGCUUUUGCUCCUAGAUUAAUGUAUGGUUGAGUCAAAUGGUAAAGAGUGUGGGUUUUUUUUUUUUUUUUGUCUGUGUUCGUAUUCGUUGGGAGAUUGUGGGAAGAUAAUUUUUCAUGAAUUCAUUAACUUCGAUAUAAAGAAGUCCGUUUGGACUAACUCAAAGAAGAAAUAUACUGAUCCAAGCUCACAAACUCUUUACGGCUAAAUAGAAAAACAAGAAAAGACACACCAUACACUUCCUGUAACAGAACUAGAUUGAAAUGAAACAAUUAUUGUACAUCACUUGAUUCAUCAAAAAAAUAGUACAUUAUUGAAGAAAAAUUGCAAAGCUAUGGAAAAUAAAGAAAAUAAUAAACCCAUGAAUGUGCAAUAACAGUGUUCAGAGGAAAGAACAAGGACUGUUGAUAAAUACAUACCAUUACUCCUUAACACUCAAGUUCUUGAAACAAGACUGCCUGCAUUGAACACAGCAAAAUACAUGUCGAGAAAGCAGGAAUAAUCGGUUUCAGCAUAGCAUUGUUAACAGGUUUGAUCCCUGCACAACAACUCUAUUUCAUACGUAUCUUUUUCUGUUGCUAUAUCUCAACCAGGAAGAUGCCUAAGUUUAAUCUUCUUUCUUAGCUCCAUAUGACUGCUUUCAGCCUCAGAGCUCUUAGCAUGAUCAGCCUCAUCUCGACUGCCAACCCGGAGAGGUUCGUGGUCUUUACCAAUACUUUGUAUAAGGAUCAUCAUUGCAACGAUAAAGACAAUUAUGUAAACAGUUCUAAUGCCAAUUAGUGAAUUGAUAAAGCCCAUAAAUGAUGCCCCGUUUUCCUUUCUGUUCUUCCUUUUCUAUAUCCUUCAGGAACAGUGAGAUUUGAGGCCCCUGAUCCUCGUUAUCAAGGCUUUCAAUACCAUUAACCUUGCAUAUCAACAAAAUGUAGUAGGUCAGUGAACGUGAUUUAGUUUUAUAGCCUUUUCUAGAUGAAUAUGAUCAACUAUUAUAGAAUAUCACUCUUAGUUCUAAUGAUCAGGAUUCAAAUCUUGAUAACCUCAAAUGUAAGAAAUAUACAUGUUGAAACGUCAAGGAAGAAGCCACCACGAACAACAAUCAUACAUUUUCUAGAUGAAGACGAUCAAUCAUCAUAGAAGAAACCCAACUCCAGCACUUACUAGCUUUUAGAAACAAUUUUAUUGGUUCAAAAGAUAUAGGGAUAAUGAAUUCAAGGAAAACUCAAGAAACAAUUAUUAAAAUUUGGAAGCAGAAUCACCAAUAGCAAGCUCUAUAAUUUCAGAGUUUGCAAUUUGGAUGAAGACAUUUAAGAAAGUAGAUAGAUAGAUAAAUACAUGUAUACAUACAUACAUACAUACUAAUCUUUAUUUAUGAAGAGAUAAAAACAAGAGUUCUUUUCAAUACUGAGUAAAAGCUAAAAAAAGGGUUUAAUAACAGUUAAAGAAUUAAAAAUGUAUUUGAUAAGAUAUUUAUUGACUUGCAUCAUUUCUUCUUUUCUCCAUCAGAAAAAGAAAGGGAAAUGAGCUCCCUAAAAGUGGGGGAUUGGAGCACCUAGGUUGAAAAGAAAGGGAAAUGAAAGCCUAAAAGAGAAUAUCUAAUAUUGUCAUGUAUACUAUAAUCUCGUUAAAUGAGUUCUUAAUGAGGCUGAACAAUCUUUCUUUGAAGGAUUAAACAAGUAAAGAUCUAGCAGCUAAACAUGUUAUGAACAAGCCUAUUCAAGAAUGUAUUGAGCUUCACCCAUGGUUGAGUUGAACUAAUAUACUAAACUCGGUUUGCAAAAUUAUAUUUGAAAUCAUUUGUUUGGCUCAAUAAAUAAAGUUGAAUAAAACCAAAACUAAUCUCAUUCACUGUGCACCAGUUCACUUGCAUUCCUACCCAAAACACUCGUGCACAUAACCCAUUACUUUUACCUCAGUCUCUUCUUGUCAUCUUGUGUGACACCAUCAUAUGAUCAUUACUCAAGGGAUGAUGGCUCCUUUUAUUUUAUUUUCCUCCCUUCCAACUUAUGUUUAUGAUCCUUCUCUCCUUCUCUUAAUCCUUCCUUGUUAUCUUUCUACGCUCUACUUCACCUCAGUCACUGACGCUCUAAAAUUGCUUCUCAGCAAAUAUAGAAACAAGCUCCAUUUCAAUUAGAAAUAAUUAUGAUAUGUUGUGAAUUAUAAGAAACAACACUGUACAAGAUCAACAGAGCAGGUGAACAGUGACUAAUCUUGACGAUAGAGCACUAGAAACAUUGAAAGAAGAAAGGUGCUACAAGGGCAGUGUGGUAAUACUCACAUCUCCAUUGCAGACAAUCAUUUUUGGCAACUUUGUCUUCUCAUUGGCCCCAAAUUUAUUAGCAAAGUCUUCCCAUUGCUUAACCCCAACAUAACCAAAUACCAAGUCACGAUUUGCAGAUGCAGCAGCCUUCAAUAACUUGAUCAAGUUCUGUGAUUGUUCUUCAUUCAAAUCACCUGUGAUUUUCAGGACAAUUUUCCUCUCCUUAUCUAUCAAUUGCUUCAAUGUCUCAUGGUUCAAGGGCACCACCAGAGGGAGCAAAUUCUGUUUUAUAAAAUCCCCCAAAAAUUCAUCUGCAUGAUUGAAGCUGAGGGGUAAGAUUGUUUUUUCUUUUUGCAGCCAUAAAAAAAUGACAGAUGAUAAGCAAAAUUAAAGAGUAUCGAAGACAUUUAAGCAGAAAUAAGUUAUAUACAGGACAGUAGGCAAUGCAUUUCAAGACAUAGAAAGCUGACCAUUAAAGUUAUGAACGAAAAGUUCCUAUAGUCCUAUUUACAUAGAUAACCAAUGUUCCUGGUCAAAGGAUGGAUUAAUCAAAGCUCAACUUAUUAUUAAACCAUCAAAGAGCAAAGCAGGUGAAACAAGAGUCUUACUCCUGAAGGGUAGUGGAAAUCCAACUUAAAUUUGAGGUUGAUAUAAUGAUUUACCAUAUAUGCUAGCAUAUUCUUUCUUAUAUAGCAUGUUGAAUUACAAUACUGGAUGGAUAAUGAAAAUAAAAAUGAACCCAAACAAUAGAUACAUGAACACAGGAAUAUACUACAGCCCAACAAACAUCAUAUUAUCUUCUAGUAAUAAAAAGACGAGAGAUCCAACUUGGCAUGCAAGCUAUAAAUAAAAAGCACAGCUCCAAAAGCAACAACUUUUUCCAUAUCUGGCAUUUACAUAUCCACAAAGGAUCAUUACAAUUUAAAUAAUUGAGUAAUAACUAAAUCUUAACUAAAUGAUUGAGACUCCAUAUUAACUUGAUUCUGUUCAAAAACUUGUUCCUGUACUCUUCUCAAUUGAACAUAACCAUGUUAAACUGAAUUCUAGACUAGUUGAUUUUCCAUUUUAAUGUUGUUCCAAUCAUGUCAUCAUGUGUCAAUUUUGGGAUAUCAGUAUGUUCCUGACACAGGUGCUUUCAAUUUUCUUAAGUUUUUCCUUAUAUUUGGAGGGUCAUACUCCAAUAGUUCCCAACUAAUUUGAGGUGUUGUCAGAUAUGAAGCAAAACUCAUCAUAGCAUUCUAAUACUACCUUCUCAUCUCUUUCCUUCAAUUUGCUUAUCGUAAAGGUCAUAAUCUCUGUAAAUCACUAUAAGAUUCCUCUUCAUCGUUAUAAUCAAUAGGAUGUUUUCUUUUUCUUUACAAUGUGACAUUAUACAAAGGAAUGUUACGCCCUAAUUAGGUCUAUUUUAUGUCAAAUGUAUAUAAAAUACGAAAAUUAUUAUGUUACAAUUUAUAUCGACAUAAAAAAUGAAGCACAUUUUUUUUUUAUCAAACUCGUACGAUUUUUAUCAGUUUACCAUAUCAUUUUCAUAUUUUUUUGUUUUCUUUUAACAUCGUAUCAUUGUAUUUUAUUUAAAAUUUUCAUUUUCACCAAUCUUUUGUGAUCAUUCUGAUUUAUAUCAUUAAGAAAUAAGAUCCACUUAUUGCCUUAAUGUCAUACAUCGGUAAAUCUAGAUUUUCGGUUGGUUCACAUGUUAUACAUGUGCUUGCCUUGAUGUAACAGUUUCCAGGAAUUGGGGUUUCACUAAUUUCAUUCUGAAACGUUAGGCCACAACUACAAGUUACGAGCAGCAUCUGAUAAAACCGUUAUAUUGACCUCAAAUUCUAAUCUUGUCAUAUACUAUUUUUUUUUCCUUUUUGCAUUAAUUCCCAAAGCUUAAUCAAUUUCCUCAAUUAUUAUAGGGUAGAUUCAGUUACAUAAUUAUAAGGAAAUAUGUCAAGUGGGAGAGUAGGAAAGAAGAGCAAGAAGAUAGCAUCAAAGCCAAAUGCUGUGUCAUUGCAAGAGAAGAUAAAAAUGGUAGACAAGGAAGAACAAGCUCUGUUAAAAGAUAUAGAUGAUCUCAAGAAAUGGGUAUUAUUUGUUUUCUAGCUUUUUUUUUUUCUUAAAUGUAUAAUUUUUUUUAUUUUAAAUUAUCAAGAUUUGAAUCCUAAUCACUGAAAUUAAAAAUCUAGUACAUUACUAAUAGAUCACGCAGCUGUUGAUUAUCUGCUAAUAGAUCAUGCAACUGUGGAUCAUGUGUAUUGAAGAAUUGCUUAUCAUUUGCUUUGAAUACUGGAUGACUGAAAAAAAAUGGUGUUUUUGUUUUCCUUUUGGUUUGAAACAUGGUAGACUGAUACAAUAGAUGCCAUGAAGGAUGAUGUGUUGAAGGAAUACCUUCAAAACAGACCAGAAGAACUGAAGAGUGUGAAGAUCCAGAAGAACAAAACUAAUCAAAAGGUAAGAGCUGAAAGGUUAUGUCUCAUCACUUUUCAUGGUGUUAGCAUCUUCAACAGUUCUAAUAGUUUCUUAUUGAAAAGAUUAAAUGCAACUUUGGUUUGAAUUAGUUAAGCUAAUGAUGAGACAGGUCCAAAAGGCUGUGAAGCCUAAACCUUCAACAUGCAGUGGAAUAAUGGCAUCUGUAUGGAAGUUCCACAAGGAAGAUGAUGAUGAUGAAGUUAACAAAAGCAUCAAGAAACAGUCAAGUCGCCAAGCGAUUAUAUGAUCUACUUGUAGAAUACUGAACUUUUAAUCUUCAAAUAAAAUUAAAAAAAAACUCUUUCCAUCAUCAUUUUCAUUUGCAGCAGAAGAUUUAGAAGUGAAUUGGCCAUGAUCUCGACCAUGUAAACAUCAAUGCAAAACAUAGUAUAAAAAUUAUACAAAGAAAUAGAAGUAAAUGAUUAAACACAAGAAAAGGUAAAACAAGUAUGAUAUGAUAAUAUUCCCUUUCUUUGUCCCUCAUUCCUCGUUCAUGUUAAUCUAGCCACUUUACACCUACCACCAAAUCCAUUGGUCAUUUUCCAUCAAAUUCUAUUUAGAUCAAACACAAAAUUGAUGACUCACUAUAGUUACCAAUACCAGGAAAGUUAAUUGAACUAUAAACCAAUAAAUAGUUCAUUCUGUUCUUGCAUUUCUUCCACCUCUUUUACUAACUGCCUCACACAAUCGACAUGGCAAUGUGUCGAGGCUUGCUGCACGGGCCUUUGCAUAGUUACCUAAUACACCACAUCUUCUCCAGGCAUGGUACUCAGCAUAUGCGACAGGGUCAUUAGCAAGGGCUUUCACAUAGGAAGCCAAUUCCUCCAUGGAGCUAAAUUUAGUUCCAUCUAUAAUUGAAUGUGGAGGGACAAAGUCCAGGACAUUGGGAGCACCAAAAUAGAUAGGAAUCGCACCAGAGUCCAGAGCAUAAAAUAGCUUCUCAGUCACAUAGCUCUCUGUAACGGUAUUUUCAAUUGCAAGGACAAAUUUGUAAUGAGACAUGGCACAAUGUAAAUGGUCCCACCACUUUGGGGUAUUGUCAUCAUUGGUACACUCAGGGUAGAAGGAAAGGGCCAUGUCUGAACCACCAACAUUGUUCAGGCAUUUGCCAAAUGAGUGGUGAGGCAGGAACCUGAGGAGACUCUUUGCACGCUGGUUUCUUUGAGGAAGGCAACGUGAUGAAGACCAAUAAACAAGUGUAUCCUUGAAAUAGAUUCAAAGAAGAAAAAGAACCCAAAUGUGAUUACAACCAUGGAUUUAUGAAAGGAGAUAAUUGGGGAACAACACAUGAACAAAGAAAUAUAAGCCCACUACUCACAUUUUUCUUAUAUGAAGAUAUGUGGUAAUUUCGACCAUUAUGAAAGAGAGCACCAGCAUAAGUUGACUGAACAUCAUCUUUUGCAUGGUAACUGAUGAAUAUAUCCUCCCAACCUGAACGCCUCCUGCCAGCCUCAAGGUCCAUGUACACACGAAGUGGAUCUCCACUGUGCCUCUAACCAAGAAGAAAAGAAAAGACCAUUUCAAUUGAUCCCAGAAAAUAAUAGUCAAAGAUUGGAUGUAUGGAUGAUCUAAAUAAGCAACAGGAAGCCAAAACAUCCAUACCUAGCUAUUUUACUGGUAUUCUGAAUGAUGCAAUGUGAAUAUGCAUGAAGAAAGAUCGGGAUAACAUCCCUUGGAAAACUGCAGCGAGACUGCUAACCUUCUCAUUGGACACCACUGACAAUCUACUGAUUCAAGUUUAUCCAACUGAUGCUUGAGUUAAUAGCUUUGCUCACACUUAGCACAAGUGCGUAAUAGCUAAAUUUGUCAUAAAAUGCCUAUAAUAACAUGAGAACUACAUGCAGAUAAGCACUGGAGUUUCUAUCCUGGUUGAACGUUGUAACAAGUCAAGAUGAAUAUCUCCAAGUUCUGGUGGCUAAUAUUUUUUAUAAGAAAGAGCACGGAUAAUGUCAAAGAAUAAGGCAAAAGCAAGGACUUAAUUAUAGGAGAUAAAAAAUUAGUCAAAAGGAGUUUACUGAUGCUUGGCCGGACGAAAAACCAAAAAGAGAGAUUUCUUUUGUCUCUCUUGCAUCUCUUUAUAUACUAAGGUCCUUUUCAUAGAGGACCUAUGGACUUGUUGCAAUAUUCAAGACGGUAAUGACUUACAUGAUACACUAGUUCUGCCUUCAGUAAGGCAGAACUAGUUUUAAAAGGCACGACUUUCAUAAAUGUGAUGUAUUACACAUUUUUACAUUUUUAGAUUUCUUCCCCUUCCUCAAAAGGAAUACUUCUAACAAAAUUUUUUAACAAGAUUCCAAGAAGAUUCUUUGGACAAGAUUUUCAAGAGACUAAUGAUUUUUGUAUCAAAAUGAGGAAAUAAACUACUGUGGUUCUGGGGCUUACAAGCCAAAUUAUGUCAAUAUCUUCUCCAAGACAAAAUGCCUUCUGGUUACAAAUGUAUCAAGGACCAAUCUGCUCCUUGAAGGAACAAACCACAUCACUACAAAGUUAAUGCAUCACAAAUAUUAAGUUAUAUAAUCAAGAUUCUGAUUUAGAGGAUCCCCUAAAAUGGAUCCCAGAGAACAUAAUUCUCAAUGCUAGAAGAUUAUGCAUGAAACGUACCAGAGAACCUUGCUUGAUUACCAUCAAUAGUGAGGUUUUUGGGAGGAGUUUCCAUGACUAUGAUGGUAGAGGCAAUCGGGUUUACCAAUAAAAGACAGAGGAUGUAUAUUGGAAAUAUUUUCGUCUCUUGCCUCUCUUUGGCAUGCACGUUCAUAUAAUGCCUAACUCUAAGUGGCCUCUUAGCAAAGCAUAAUUCAAUGGCCAAAGUUGAUGAAGGGUCUCCUAUAUUAUGGAAGAGGGAGAAUUUCUAUCAAGAACCUAUUUCUGCAUAAAUUAAUGAACCAUGAGCAGACCCUAUGUACUGAGAAAAAACUACUUUGGCCAUUUUUUUCCACUAUUAAUUCACAUUUUUAAAGGAUCUCCAACAUGUAGAAAGGCACAAAAUCCACCUCUUCAGCAACCUACACCUCAGGCAGGGAAAAAAAAUGCCCAUCUUCUACUCUUUUAGAAUAUAUUGCGAAAGUAGCUUCAAUAUAACACCAUCCACAACAACCAAAUGUAACAUUUCUUCUACCUUUUUCCAAGUAGUGCAUGCACCUUUAUUCACCCUAGCUAUAUUUGGAAAAACCUUAACAUCCAAACCUGACUUGCAUUCAACAUAACCUUCCAACCCUACAUCCCAACAACUAAAAGAAGCUUUUUAAGUAACAAAACAUCAAUUUCCUACAAGCCAAUUCUGCAACUCUAUGCAUUAUGCCUCACAUAGUUCUAAAUCAUAGUCGUGGUUGUGGGUGUUGCAGACGUUGCGUAAUGCAUCAUUACAUUGCACAGUCAUUACAUUGGUGAAAAUUUGUCAUGGAAAUUCCAAAAUGUGGUGUGGCACCUUGAAAAUUCGUUACAAAGAGGUCAUUACGUUGCAUAACAGCCACAUUUUAAUACUAUGUUAUGCCUCCACUAAGUGAAAAGUAUAUAAAGAAUUAUUUGAAAAUUUUUAGAUUAUAAUGGAACAGAAGUGAAUAACAUCACUUAUAGCUGAGAGUAAUAAGCUAAAUUAUAACAACCUAAGUAUAGCGGUUGUCAUGAACAUACUUUGUAACGGAUUCUCAAGGUGCUGAACCGCAUUUUGGCUGUUACACACCACAUUUUGGCCAUUAGACAAAUGAGAUACUGCAUCAGAACCGUAUCAGCUGAUGCCUGCUACAAAUCGGCCGCGACAGCAACCAAAAGCGACAUAAUGUCGCAACUGAAAGCAUUUAAAAAAAUCAAUAAAACAAAAGUUUUGAACAAUACAUUGACAGCAAUUCAAGUUAAACAGCUUUCUACAGACUUUCAAUAGCUUUUGAAAGAUGAACAAAAAAUAAUUGAUGUUUUUGUUUGAAAUAUACCUUGUUGCAGGGAGAAGAAUGAAUCUAGUUCUUUUUCAUUUUGUUUCUUGAGUCUUCUAUUUGCACUUAUUUCCAUUCUGAUAAUCCCAUAUCAGGCUCCAAAGGACAGCGGUUCAUCAUUUCCUCUUCCUAAAGUAGACUCCAUCUCCAAGCAAAAUUUUUUCAAUUUUUUUUCAUGGAAAGUUUUUAAGGUUUUGGUUCUUUGUCUGAUCUAACAAAUUCUAAUGCUUCAAAGGAAAUUUACAAAGAAUCUCAAAGAGAGAUGUUGGAAAUUUGAAUCUUCCCAAGGAAUUUGUAAGCCAUGGCAUCUACUAAAAGGUGGACAAGGACAAGAAAGUUGGACUUUUACAUUUUUAUUCAUGCCUAGUAAUUGUUUUUUGGAUCAAGUUUGUUUUAAUCGGACUUGUAUUUCAUACAUGGAUCUUAGAUUAAUUUAUUUUUAUAUAUUAUUUUGGCUGUGAUGAAUAUAGUAAGAACCCCAUUAACAUAGGCACUGACAUCAUAUAUACAAUAUAUUAUAAUAUAUAUGUAUGUGAUUUUUGAAAAAAAAAAAAGUCACACCCAUGACAACUGCAACAUGCUAUGUAUCAUCUGUGACACCCGCAAUUGCAACACCACAACCAUGUCUGCAAUUUAGAACUAUGUUCAUGUAUACGUAUCUGUUGCUCAUGUUAAGAAAUCGUUAAACUGAAGUAGGGAACCCUAGAUUCUAAAUCAUUACAAUCUACUAACCAAAUUGGUUUAGUCAACUUGCUCUUACCAACAAAAUCAAAUUCCUCAUAUUCCCAAACCAAACAUCCUUGUUCAUCGCAGGCUGCAGCUAAAUUACUCAAAAACUUCACUUCACUCACAUUGUGAUGACUGACACAUUACCCACUUCACUUCUCUCUAUUGAUCUCCUUACGAUAUCAAUUCAAAUCUAUGACUCCAUUCCAAAAAAAAACAUUAUCAGAGUUUUAAACUCCACAAGACAAGUAGAUCACAAGUAUGAUUUCAAUUUUAAUUAAGCAAACAAAUAAAAAUUUUCUAUAUUCCAUAAUUGCAGCAAAGAAAAAGAAAAAGAAAAAAAGUAAAGCAAAGAGAAAAACUACCUGAAAUGGAGGGGUAGUGGUCUCAAACAACAAGGCAUCAGGCUUAUCAGCAAGAACAGAAGAUUUAGUCCAUAAGCAACUCAUCCCACAUCGACAAGAAUACAAAUUAUCCAAAUUAUCAGGAAUCCAAGUCCACCCUUUUACCAAAACACUAACAUGCUCCAUUUUCAACUCAUUGCACCCAGAAACACCAACAGCUUCCUGCAAAGACCCAGACCUGUUAGAAAGCAAACGGAUCAAAUCGUUAUGUUUCUCCUUGAACCGGGCACAACCCAUUUGAGAAUCCCAUUUCUUGAAAGCCAAGAGCAAAUCAGUAAAAGGAUCAGGCUUGGAAUUGAGUGUCUCGGUUGGGUUGGAAAAGGGUUGGAUUGAGGUUGAUACAGAUGGGAAUUCAAGGAAACCUGAAAAGAUUAGGAUCAAGAAAGUGAAGAACAACAUGAGCGUGACGGUGAAGGUGUUGAGAGGCUUCAAUUGCAUUGUCAGUUUGCUAGUCUUUGUGGUCUCUCUCUCUCUCUCUCUCUCUCUCUCUCUCUCUCUCUCUUUGUUUUCUCUCCUUUGAAAAAGAGAGACAAAAUAAGAAGAAUUGGUUUGCUAGUUAAACACAUGAAACAUCCUCAAAACAUUACGCAACUACGAUGUAGUUAGGUGCCAGAGGUACGGUUUUCAUUGGUUAUUGCCAGCCGUUUGGCCGAUUGCACUUGUUUGAAAUUUUCUUUGCCCUAUUAUUUUGACUUAAUUUUCUUUUGUUUUUUUUCAAUUCGUCGUUAACUUAAAAUUGAUUGAUUUGAGAUAUAAUCCCAUGUAAAUUACAUUUAUGCACUCAAAUAUCUCUACAUGAAAAGUUUAUCCUCUGCGAGAUAUUAAUUUUGAUGAAUCCAUUGUUAAAAGCUCGCACAAAUACUAAAAUUAUUUUUUAAAUAAUAAAAUAUAUCAUAAAUUCGAAAUUAAUUAAUUUAAAUUAUCAUAAAAUUUUAUAUAAAUUAUUCUCACGCACACACCCAAACUUUUCAAACUUUCCAACAUGGGAAGUUGAUUUUGUUAUUUGGACAAAUAAAAUUGUCUUUAUAGAGUACUUUGACUUGGCUUUCUUAUGUUUGGGGGCAUGUAAAAAUGUAAACAUUUUGGAUUGCAGUGGCAUCACAAUCCACAAGUAUAAGUUUUUGCGCUCAUUUAAUACUCCUACGGCUACAUGGAUUCUAAAUCAAUACGUAGUCUUUCCUUUUAUAUAUACUUGUAAUAAUAAAAUAGAUUUCAAUCGGUGAAAAUUAAUUAAAUUCGGUUAACUCAAUUUGAUUCGUUUUAGUUUUAAUAAUAGUGAAUUAAAUAAAAUAAUUUAAUUGAUUAAUUUGAUAAACUUUUUACUUUUAAAAUUAAUAAUUUAUUUGAUUGAAUUAAUUAAUAUUUUUUAAUAAUAUAAUUAUAUCAUACAUAAUAUAAAUAUACAUGAAAUAUUUUUAUUUAUAUUUUAAAAAUACCAAAUAUGACAUUGGUGGCAAAAUUAUAGAAUGAGUUUUACUGGAUGAAAAUUAUUUCAAAAAAUUAUAUAAAUUUAUUUAAAAAAUAAAAAUUUCAAUUUUUAUAUAAUAAAUAAUUUAUAGAAUAAAAUUUUAUUAUUCAAAAAAUUUAAAGGUUUGAAUUAAUUAAAACGAAUAUAAAUAUAUAAUUUAAAAUUCAUUAACACGUUUACGUAUCACAUAAAUUAAUUUGUAUAAAAUUAUUAAAAAUUAAAAAUUUACUUAUAAAACUAAAAUUUUAAAGAAAAACAUAUUUUAGUGACAAUAUUUUGAUGAUAAAUUUAUUCAAAAAAUGAUUUUAAAACAUUUUUUUUAUUUACAAUGUCGAAAAAUAAAUUUGAGGUUGAAUAAGUAAUAAAACUUUCACUCUCAUGCAACUUACUCGAAUUUUGCUUACAAUUUUCAUAAUACAAAAAAUGGCAAUAUCUUUCGUACGAAACAGUGUCAACUCAUCCCAAGAAUUAACACUUGAACUUCAAAUCAAAAGACUUAAAAUUGAAACUCCCAAAUCGGUUACAAAGACAAAUUGCUCAAGUCGCUUAGGGAACAGCUGCCAAGGCAGUGAAUAUAGAAAGUUAAUUAAAACAAGAGACUCUUCGGUAAAUGGCUCUUGCCUUGCAUCAGCAAACUCACGAAGAGCUACGUCCCCAUGCCUACCACACUCAUCAAGCCAAUUUCAUUAGUUUUAUAUAAUUAAAGAUGUUAACUUUAUUCAUAUCUAAUUAAAAAUUAAUUUUUUAUUUAAAUGAAGAUGAGAAUAAAUAUUACAUUCUAAAAAUAAAUAUAAUUUUAAAUUUUUUAUCAAAUACAAAAUUGAAAAUGAAUACUAUAACACUCACACCAUAUAUAUACCCAUACUCUAUAAAUAUAUAUAUUAUAUAUUCAUAUAUGUAUAUUAAUAAAUUUUUUAUUAAAUAAUAUAAAUUAUAAUUUUAAAUUAAUUAAACUAAUAUAUUUCUAUUUAAAAUAUAUAUUAAUAUAUUUAUAAAAUAAAUAAAUAAAUAUGCAAAAUAAUUUUUUUUUUUAAAAGUUAAAAAUUACAUUUUGAUUUUUAUUUUUUUCAAAAGCUAAAAGUACAAAAAUGAUCUAUACCCAUUAAAUACUUGUAAAAAUAGAGAUAAAAAUAAAAAAAUAGAUUUGAAAUACACAUUGAAUAUGAGUAUAGAAAUGAAUACUAUAUAAAAAUUUGAAGAUAAAAAUAAAAAAUAGUAUAUCCGUCCUAUACCCGACCCAACCCAUUGAUAUCCUACAUAUAAUGAACUUAGUGAAAUAACUAUACUUAAAAUUGACAGAACAAUGAGAAUCUGAAACUUAACUCAGAUGACUCAUACAAUUAUUUUUUAGAGAUGAUAGCAUUCAACAAGUUUAAUAUUCAAAUCUUAACACCUAUAACUCUUUCUUAUCCGAUCUCUUUUGUACCCAAAAAAAAAAAAACUGACAGUACAAAUUGCUUAUGCAUCUAUCCUUAAGAUUUAUGUACGGGCUAGAGAUACAAAUAUCAUUUCAAAAUUCUUGACAGAAAGUCAUGUUGCUGCAACAAUGAAUUUCAGGAUUGUCAAAAGAUUUCCUUUUCUUGUGGUAUAUGAUUUUAAUGUCGAGAAGUGAUCCUAAACUUUAAGACAGUUUUGCUUGGAUGGUAAUCAAGGUCCAAAAUAUAAUAUACCAACCACUCUUAGGCUGAAGAAAAUGGCGAAGGAAGCAGUCAGUUACUCCAUCUUUACACGCUUUGAAUGUGUUUCCUUCAUCCAAUCAAGACAUUCCUCUGCAGUCCCUGAAGGAUGUGCCAGCUGCCACGAGAUAACCUUUUGUUGCUGCCAAUGAAACAACAGAUUAGCAUUUGAAGUUUUGGAAAAGAAAAAAAAAAAAAGGCAGCUGAAAAUGCCCUACCCAUUCCCUAACAAGUGGCCCUCCGACUUUAAGCUGCAAAACAUCCAUGAUAGCCUUCCCAUUAACCAAUGGCUUUAAAUCCCAAACUUUCUCGAGACCUGCAUUCAAACAAAAACUUAACAUCAGACGAGACUUGCACCCGGGGGGAGGGGGAACACAACAUGCUCCAAAUCAAGCUCGAACAAAAUUAAUUAAUCAUUUGCACAUCAGAGAUUAGAUAUAGGGAGUGUUCAGAAACUGAAAUAAACUUCUAAAUGGAAAUUAUUUUCAUGGAAAACAUCUUCACGUAAAAGUGACACAAAAGUUCUAAUAGAAACUAUAAAUAAUUACAAGUAGAAAGAGACAGAAGAGUAGAAUACAGAGUGGACCAUAAUGAAGAAAAAACACCUAAAAACUAAAAGGAAGAGAUAGCUGGAAUUGUGAAGGAAAAGUAGCAUUAUCCUCAUACAAAACUUACAACGAAAGCCAAGAUAACUAAGAAUAGAAAACCCAUGAAAAUGGAUAUCUCCUCCUCUUUAUUCCUGUCGAGGCAAGUUAUCUACCGCGGGGUCUUACCUAUUUGAGCUAAUUCUUCCAAACAUUUGAGAGUGUGUUCAUAAACAGCCUGCCAAACAAUUUUAAUUUAUCAUUUUUCUUGCUAGCUGGAAAUAAAAGCGGAUUCACUGAGUAAGAUUGGAGUAGCUAAUGUUUCAGAUAAACAACUUCAAUUUUUUCUUGGUUUAGCAUGUUCUUUCUUUUUUUUUUUUCCCCGUUGACUGUGUAGUGACUCUAAGAAACAACUUCCCAUUACUAUUUGAGAAGUAGUUUUCCUUGUUUUAGCAUUGCAAAUUAAGUCUAAUAGAUUGAUGGUACACUAGAGGUCCAAAAUAGAUCCGUCAACUAUCAGGUAAGGAAGCAGUUUCAAAGCACUAAAGCCUAAGGUAAGAGUGCACGAGUAUUUGGUAAUAAAAUACUCAACCAGUCAGCUACCAGCCAUUAGGUCUUGUAACUGUUUCAUGCUAAACAUAAUCAGGGAGCUGAGAACCAUGAGAGAGAAGCAAGGAGGGGAGCAAGGAGGGAAGCACAGUAAACAUGUUCUAAAUGGAAAGACUAACAACAGCCUAUAUGUCAAAGAUAAGAAUUUCGCAUGAAAAAAAUGAAAACCUAAGGAUAUAUAAUUAACGUGGCCAAGAACAGGAGCUUUUGAAAGGAUUAAACAUAAAAACUUAAAUAAUUGGAAAAAGAGACUGUUGAUACCUAAUUUAACAAUGGCAUUCUCAACUGAUACAAACAGGUCUUUUCUCUUGUCCAGCUGAAAGUGCUUGUCUAUAAUAUCUUGAGUGCAAUCAAUAUUGGUGGGAUAUAGCAAUGUAGAUAUCAACAAAGCAACUCGCCAAAAAUCUUUAAUUUAUAUGAAGCAGAACCUGUACAUGUAAGAAUAUAUUAGAUCAACCCCCAAAAAAAAAGGCUCUAAUUGUCUAAGUGUUUUAAAGCAAAAAGAAAAUCAGGCUGAUAGAGUAAAACCUGUAAAGCUGAGUCAAGUGUUCGGUAGAAAUAACUAAUUAUGAAAAGCAUAAAUAUCCUCAUAGCUAGAACCAAAAGUGAAUAGUUAUGCAUUUAGACUCCCCAAGAUUCCAAUUCUAGAAAGCAUGUCUUUCUCAGGGAACACUCCUGGAUUGCUUUGGUCGGUUUCAAUUGUAAAGAAGUUCAAUUCUCUAUAGCAGUGACCCAAUAUUUCUUCAGGUUUGAUACAUUUUACUAUUAUUCAUAAACACAACUUAUUAUCAUACUACAUAUAAUAAAAACUUGAUAUAUCAAUUCUCACACAUGGUUGUCUAAUGAGAGGUCAGUGUUUUGAGGAAAAUAAUUCAUAAUGAAUUAUAUUCAGAAGUCUAUUUUUGGAGAAAAAAACAACCAUAUAUAGACAAUCUUAAAAGUACAAACUACAAUAGUAAUAACUACAUACCUGUCAGUACCCGCAAUUUUGAAGUAAAAGGAACAUCGAUAAUUUCUCUACCCCAGUCAAUCUCAGAAAGUUGGAUAUCCUCAUUUGAUAAAAGAGAAGGAAUCAAGGAUAAGAAUUUCUCCAACGACUUGUGGACGUUUAUAACCUAGAAAGCAAAGAGAAUCGUAUAUUUGUAAUUAAUGCUACAUGAAGGCUGCCAAUUCAGCUUAUAAUGCACAAUCCUAACAAAAACAAAGAAUAUGUGACAAAAUCAGGAGGAAAUCUAGACUCACUGUUUCAGCAUCACUAGCUUUUCGCUUAAGAGAAUCCCUGAAAAUGUAGUUGAUGACAGGAAUCUGCAGUCCAGUUGCACAGGUUUAAAUCAGCAUAUUUUCACGUUAUGUUAUACAAGAAACCAAGUCAAGCAUGCCAAGACAAACAAUUCAAGCAUAAUCAACUAAUAAUUUAGCAACGCACAAAUUUAGACAGAUUAAAAGGAGUCCAACUAAUUUGCAUGGCAAAGGCUCUUGGAUUUAUCAUAAACGAGUUUUUGAAUAACAAAACAAAGCAAGUGAAGAAUACGUUGAACCCAUCAAACUCCAGAUUAGUUCAACAAAAAAUUUUCAGCCAAGUGGGAGUGUCCAUUGUAGACAAAAAUAAAAACAACCCACAGCUUUCUUCAAAUUAAAAAAAAAAAAAAUUGCAUUGCACCCUAUCAGAGUCCAGCCCAUGCUAAUCAAUUAACAAAAUAAUGUUAACACUUUAUUCGCCUUCACACAUGGAAGCUUAUGGAAUGAACAUGAUUAGUACCUUUUUAGCCUUUCGAUCCCCGUACGUGGCACUACACAAUGGAAGAAAUAAAGCAGAAUACAAACACAGCCUUCUCUGUUCGUCCUAAAAUUCACAUGCCACAAUUCAGAAACAGGAGAAUAGAGGAAACGAGAACAAAUCAAAAAAUAAACCUGCUAUCAAAUCAGGAUAACAGAAGCAAUUUGAGAGAAUCAACAGAAUACUUUGAGUCUGAUAACUCACAUCAAAGCUGGAGCAUCCAAUAAGUCGAAUAAGGUUCCAUGUAGCAUCCAAAUAAGAAGCAGACAGCCUGUAAAUUGUAAAGGGAACAAUACAUGAGCAGGAAACUCAGAUGGAAAAUUUGACAAAGAAUGCUCAAUACACUUCAGAAUUCUUCUGGCCCACUAAAAAUAAUACCUACAAAUGCCAGCUUCCACCCCAUCCCCACCCCUAACCAAUCACAGAUAAAUGAAGCACCAGAUAAUGACCAAAAUCAAGCUAUAUUGCCUGGACAAGGCACGGUCAUUGAACACAAACUACGUUGUCACAAGUACUUUCAAUAAUUUUUGUUUAUUUUUCCUAAUAUUUAGAGAAACAAAAAUCAAUAUGUCCAUUUGAGGUGUUUGAUAUAUAUCCAACACAGGUAUGUGAAAAUGAAGAAUUUUAAUAAAAUAGAAUCAAGUAAAACAAUGAGCUUGCCAAAUGGAAAAAUAACCACUAAUAUAAUGAUGGUCUUCCAUUAACAUUGUACUUUCCCCCAAACUGACUUGGCAGCUUCACUUAGACUCUUGAAAUUCAGUUGUUGAAGUUGUAUAGAACAUUCCAAAUGUCAGAUUUUCAGACAAUAAGAGUCAAUAUGCACCAGGCAAGAAAACAUUGUCAUACAUACCACAUAGAUCCAAAGGAGAAAAUUGUUCAAAAUAGCAACUUGCCAUUAUUUUGGUGCACUCCUCCAAUUAAUUAUUAAAAGCUAACUGGACAUUUAUGAUUUUCUUUGACUCUUACAUGAGCUUAUGAAGUCAAGAUAAACUUGUGUUUCAAUAAAAAUAAAAUAAGCCUAGAAUGAAUAGGAUAUAACAUUAUUAAAUUAACCAGAAACCUAUAGCAAUCUUCUGAUACAGCAGGCUCUACUUUCGCAGGGAGACUGCAGACAACCCAAAAUAAUGUCAAAUCACAAAUGUGGUCAAUUGCUUUAGCAGGUUGAUUGCCAGAGAUCAUGAGAUCAAUCUGUAGAACAGACAAGCAACAUGGAAAACAAACAAUUAGUAAGCUUUAAAAAGGUACAGAAAGCAGCAGAGAAUCUCCCUUUGAACAAUUUAACAUGAAUAUCCCCAGGAAUAUAACUAUAUGAAGGAAUGAAAGUAACAUACUUCAGUUCCAAUGCGCUCUCUGCUAAUUUUAGCUGCAAGAGCUGUUUUGACAUCAUCACAUGCAGCAGCUUUCUUUAAUUCUUCAUCCAGAGUGAAACCAAACCUUGCACCUGAUCAACAAAAUAAAAGUCAAAUAAUGUAUGUCUUUUUGUGUUCACAUAUUAUGAGGUCAACCAACAGAAAUAGGUAACCAUGCAGCCUUGUUGGCAACAAGGCAGUUACUAGAAGAAUAGAAAGUUUAGCCUGCUUUCCAAGACUGAGAAUCCACUGUUGCAAACAUUCUUCUUAUUCUUAUUUUCUUUAUUCUUUUUAUAGAUAGGGAUUAGGGAAGCCAUUCCAACAAUAUUCACAAAUCCACUUAAAUUUGCAGCCGAUUAUGACCCCCAAGAAAGUGGUAUAUACAAUAAUGACUUGCUUAUGUUAUCUUGUAGAGUCGGAAGACUCAUUCAAAAAAAAUUAUUGGAAUUUAACAGAGAGAACUGCCCUGAUGGUUUAAGCAGCUAAAAUUCAGCUUCCUGAUGCGGUAAAUGAAUUUGUCUCAGUUUCAUUAGCCUACCCACCCAGUUUAGUGAUACAUAUUAUGAAAGUCUUACUUCUGUUGGUAAGGCUACCCCAUAUACUAGAUACCAUCAAUACACAUAUAAAUCAAAAGCUCUCAUUCAGCACUAUGACACUUUUUUCUAUAAUUUCUCUGUCUAAGAACUUGGAAAGUCCAAUAUAACCUCAUUUUAUAUUCCACAGGCCUCACCAUACACCCCAAUAACUCCAUGCCUACCAUCCCUAAUUCUUCCAUACCUUCAUGUAAUGCUAUUAAACUUCAUUGAAGGGCAAAAAGAGCACAAGAAUGGAAAAUGAUAUUCCCUCCAUAAUAAACUAUCAAAGGAUUGAAGAACGCUAAAGGAAAAUAUGGAAACAAUUACCAAAACGAAUAGCUCGAAGAACCCGUAGGGGAUCAUCCAAAAACGUAGCCUUUGGAGGCAAUGGAGUCACUAUCCUUCCAAAUUUUAGAUCCUCAAUCCCUGCAGUUUAUUAGAUUGAAAGGGACAAAAAUGAAACAUAACUGCAAUCUAUAAAUAAGUGGAAUAAGUAGAUUCAGGAGAAAGUAGCAGACAAAAUCUGCUUACCUCUUUUAGUGAAGUCUUCAACUAAGUUGGUGUUAAUGUUGUAGAACAAGCUGACAAAAGAAAAGAAAACCCCAUUAAUACUAUCUACUAGAAAAAAGAAAAAAUCAAGGAAGAUAUAGACAAAGACAAUAUGCUCACGUUAUAUUAUUAUUUAUAUUACUCAUUUUCUAAAGGAUAAAGAUAAACCAAGUGCACAUUUCCUAGUUAUGACAUGUGAUUUACAGCAAAGAAAGCUACCUAUUAAUGGUUAAAUCCCUUCUAUAUGCAUCCUCCUCAGCGGUACCAAAUUUCUACAUCAAGACAUGAGUGAACUGUUAAGUAACACAAUGCUCAAGAUAUAAAGUAUACAAUGAACCAAUAAAGAAACAGCAUAAAAUUUUGUUAAGAAAUGAAACCAUCUUUUAAGAGGUUCAUUUGCUAGAAUAAGUAAAAAAUCACGAACCCCCCAUAAAUAUAUUUCUCUAAAACUAACUACAAAUCAUUUAAUCUCAACACCAAACAGCUAAGGCCAUCAAGUCCUCAAAAAGCAGAAAUAGAAGAUAUAUAAUAUAAACAUGAUCAUAUAUCCUCCAGGCUACAAAAAUGUACAAAACCAAAAAUUAUUUAGGAAAUUAGAUACCAAAUAUUUGUUUACCAUCGUAGGGAUGCGGCUACUCUCACUAUAGUCUUCACACCUUAAGUUCACAAAAUCAAUCCAUAAAUCAAAAAGGCGCAUCCUAGCAGUUUCUAAGUGCUUGGACUGCUCAGGAUUACUGCAAAAUAAAAUUAUACAGUAUAAUGGCCACAAAUGGUACAACAAAAACCAAAGAUUAAUUACGGAAAAGCCAACAGAGACAAAGAGCUUAUUAAGCAAAUAAAAGUUGCAAACUAUGAUAAACGCUAUCCAGAUGAAGUUAAAAAACAAAAGGAAGAACGUUAAAACAAUACAAUGACCAGCAUACCUUGGAAUGACAGCAAGUCCCUGUGCCACUUCCCCUGUUGAUAACAAGUAUUCCUGAACCUUGUCAACAAAUUCACUGCCCAACAUAUUGUCAAGUGCAAUAUCAAUGUCAUAACAUUCUUUCCCAAGAAGCUGCAAAGGAAAUUAAACCCAACAUAAGCUACAUGCCAGUAAUAAAAAUCUAUAGAGACAUCACAAGCCAUCUUUGAAGCAGUCAUACAGAUAGAGGAUGCAACGUACGAGUUAUGGUACAAUAAUGAUCCAGUCAAAGCCAAGAAUACAAUACCAAAAAAAAUUGGUAAAUUAAAAUUACUAUAUAUUUAUAUAAAAAAAUUAAUAUUUCAUCAACUUUCCACCUCAACCCCUUCCCUAUCUCAUCAUAAAUGGCAAUCCUUGGCGUUCAUUAUAUGCAGCUAAUUCAUCGUUGUGAAAUUAUAGCCAGCUAUCCUCGUUUGACAAUACUCUACUCACUCACUUAUCGCAAUUGCAUCUAUUUCUUAACCUAUAGACAGCAAUUCAUUCGAAAUAUCCUCACUUUCCAAAUGAGCGAUAACAGCCCUAACAAUCUUAGCAUAAAUCAUGAUUGUAGCGAAAUAAUUAGCUAAAUAGCAACCUUCAACUUGUUUUGAAGGAAAAAUGUCUUACUUAUGAUUAAAAAAAAAAAAAAAAAAGAACUCAAAUAAACUAGAUUAUAUCAAUUAUACUUUUCUUCAAAAAGUAAGGAUAUCAAUCUUAUCCAUACUCAAUGGAAAACCCAAUUUUCUGCUCGAAUGGGAAUGAGGAUGGGCAUUACAUUUGUGGGAAUGGAAAUGGGUAUAUUUUUAUAUACAUAAACCUACAUAAUAAACCUACAUAUAUAUUUAUAUAUUUAGUAAAUAAUUUUUUAUUAAAUAAUAUAAUUAUUAUUUUAGAUUAAUUAAAAUUAAUAUAUUUUUAUUAAAAUAUAUAUUUAUAAAAAAAUUACCUAAAUAUAUAAAAUAAAAAUAAAAAACUAAAAAAAUAAUUUUUUAUUUUUAUUUUUGAAGAUUAUUCGUAUUCAUUAAAUAAUUGCAAAAAUGAAUAUGAGAAUAAAUUUGAAAUAAUAUUUAGAUACGAGUACAGAGAUAAUAUAAUAUAAAAAUCUGAAGACAGGAUGGGCAAUGCUUUAACCACCCCAUACCCUACGUAAAUAUCCCUACCAAAAAGUGUAUUUCAUUAGUCGGAAUUUCUUAAUGCCAGAAAAUUCCAUUAAAACCCACUUCUCUUUUUUAGUUUUCUUUUUCAUUGCUUACAUUUCCUUUUGAGCACUGGAUGUUACUAAUAUAAGGCAUAAAAAUAAGCUAAAAUUUAAAAUGAUAAAUUGUUUUCAAAUGUGAGUAAAAUCACCUUAUCGCGGACCCAUCCACCAGCAACUCGAAGCUGAGUUUGGAGAUUGAAGUGGCGAAGAGUGUUCAAAAGCCUAUCGAAAAUCUUCUUCUCAGUUUGGGUCAAUUCAAUUUGCUCCUUGACUUGAAUAGACGCGGCGGUCGCCAUGGCUGUGGAGCAGCGAAGAAACGGCGAGGGAAGAAAGCCUGUGGUUCUUGUAGUUAGGGAUAGGGUUGUUGCUUUUGAUGAAGUUGAAACGUUUCGAAACGCUGGAGUGAUGUUGGCGGUGGGUAGAGAGAGGGAGUGAAGCAGAAGAGGCGCCUUGGCCUUGAGCUUUAAGGGGUUGUUCAGAGAGAGUCGCAUAGCGUUUCUUUUGCCUUUUAUUUUUCUCUAAUUAAAAAGGCCUAAAAUUAAAAAAAAAAAAAAAAAAUACACCUCUAGGAAUGAAUUGCAUAUGAACCGGUUCAAUUAUCUCAGACAAAAAACCGGAACGGUUCGUUAUCUCAUCGGACCGUAACAAUGUAGGAGUUCAAUGAAUCGAAUCGGUUGUUUAAUUUUACUCAUUAACGGGAGAUACAACAAAUUUGUACUUGUAUAUGAUUAUUUCGUGUUUAAUAUAUAUAAAAUAUAAAAAUUAUCAUAUUAUAAUUUAUAUUAAUAUAUUAAAUAUAAAACAUAUUUUUUAUUUUUUUUAAUUUAUUUAUUAUUUUUAUAAAAUUUUAAACUAUAUAAUUUUUAUAUUUUUUUUUUAUCGUAUCAUCGUAUUUAUCAAAUUUAUUAAAAAAUACACAUUUUAAUUUAUUAAUAAUAUAUAAUUUAAUUUAUAUCAAAUACAAAAAUUAUUAUAUCACAAUUUAUCUCCCUAAAUUAAACAUAAAAUAUAUUUUUUAUUUUUUUAAUUUAUUUAUAAUUUUUAUUAAAAUUUUAAAUUAUAUAUUUUUUGUGUUUUUUAUCUUUAUCAUGUCAUAAUAAUUGUCUAAUCAAUUAAUGAAGUAUACCUUGUGAUUGAUUGAUAUGGUAUUGCAAUUAUAUAUUUUCAUUGCAUCGUUCUGUUUGUUUCAUGAAAAAUAAUUUUUAAAAAAUAAUUUUUAUAUUUUAAAAUAUUUAUUUAAUAAAAAAUUAAUUGGUCAAUGAAAAAUAAUUUAUUUAAUUAUAAAAAAUAAAAUAUUUUUUUAAAAAUUAUUUUUUGAAUUUAAAAAUAGGAAGACAUUUUUGAAAAAACCUAUUUAUGAGUAAAAUUAUUUAUUAAUACUUUUGAAUAUAAUUUUACUUACAAAUAAUAUUAUAUUAUAAAUAAAUAAUAUUAUAUUAUAAUAUAUUAAUAAAUAAUAUCAUAUAUACUAUUAAUACAAUAUAUUCAUAAAUAAUAUUAUAAUAUAUUCAUAAAUAAUAUAUAAAUAAAUAUUAUACUAAUAUAUUAAUAUUAAUAAAUAAUAUAAUAAAUAUUAUUAAUUUAAUUAAUAAAUAUUAUAAUAAUAUAUGAAUAAAUAAUAUAAUAUUAAUAUAAUAUUUUAAUAAAUAAUAUUUUAAUAUAUUAAUAAAUAAUAUAAAGAAUAAUAAAUAGUUUUAUUUUAAUUAUUUUUUUAUAUUAUCAUAAUAUUUUAAUAUUAAAUAUUAUUAUUAAAAUAUAAUUAUUUUUUAAUAUUAAUAAUUUUAAUAACAAAUAAUUUUAAUAUAUUUUAAUAAUAAAUAAUUUUAAAUAUUUUAAUAAUUAUAUUACUAUUAUUUGAGAAAAAAAAAAACAGAUUCUUCGUAAAACCAAACAACGGAUAACAAUUUUUUACUAACUUAUCCUAACAGAAAAAAAAAAUCUCUUUGUAUUCAAAAAAUGUAAACAUUUUUUCAGAAAUUAUUUUUUAAAAGUUAUUUUCUGCCAAACGGAGCCUUGUAUUGAUAAAGCAGUAAAUGCAACAUAAGGGCUCACUCACUGCAAGACUAUAUCUGAUCCUGUAAGUUAUGAGCACAAGCUGCAGGAUAUGAGAUCUAUAAUUACAAAAAUAUGCAGAAAAUGAGCAAUGAACUGGGUCUAGAGAUGUCAUUAAGGGCUCACUGCAAGACAACAUAUCUGAUCUCCCAAGUUAUGAGCACAAGUAUUUCCCAUAGAUCUGUUGGGAAAUUGUUGUCGCCAUAGAUCUUUGAACCGUUUCUGGGCACUGCACUUGAACCACUGAUGCACGAGCUGGUACUGUUCUUUGUUGUUAGUCACACAGUUAUAGUUGCUGUGAGAGUAGCGUGGCAGGGAGCACACUUGACAGGAGAUAGACACGGGCGGUUUCCAUUUCCAGGUACAAUCCUCCGCCUCAAGGCGUUCUUUUUUUUCCAGGAAUCUUUCAAUCGGGGGAGCGCAACCAAGUUUCAAACCUCAAAGCCCUGCAAGGGAUGUGAAGCCUUUCUCAAUGUCUUCCACUCGCCCAGUAGAUCUAGGAGGCAAAGGGAAUCCGUUGAUUGAAUCCAUUCCCAUCCAGCAUAGGCGGGUAGAGUUCACUCAUCCGGUAGCGAGGGGAAGAUGAACAAUGAAGCUAUAGCUGCUCACCUUUCCGCUAUCUGCAUUGUUGUAAUAGGGGGCUUAACAGCCCACUAACCAAUCUUUCUUUCUAUUUUGAAUUCUUGAUCUUUGGUGCCAGUGGAGCAAAGGAAGCGGGAAACGAACUCCUCUAUCUACCCUAGAAAUGGGUUAGAUCUAUUGAAUGAGAUCCUGGAGACAGGUUUGGAAGGUAUGAGUCGAUUGGAUGCAGGGAACCCGAAUAGCCCUAUCGACAUGCAUGCAAUGAUAAGUGCACUACAAACAUUUCUAUUAGCAGCCUCGAAUAUUUAGCAACAUGCACAAGUUACAUAUGUUGGUAGCAUUAAUGGAC
RNAcentral lists this long non-coding RNA (47329 nucleotides) under Durio zibethinus. Its description in RNAcentral is "long non-coding RNA (DZIB_LNC001373)". The record is from RNAcentral. Lineage: Eukaryota; Viridiplantae; Streptophyta; Magnoliopsida; Malvales; Malvaceae.